RNAcentral lists this long non-coding RNA (56877 nucleotides) under Zea mays. Its description in RNAcentral is "long non-coding RNA (ZMAY_LNC002145)". The record is from RNAcentral. Lineage: Eukaryota; Viridiplantae; Streptophyta; Magnoliopsida; Poales; Poaceae.
AAUUUCUUCCAUUCAACCAACUGGCAGCAUUGAACUCUCAUGCUUAUGUACAACAACAACAACUACUACCAUUCAGCCAGCUAGCUGCUGUGAGCCCUGCUGCCUUCUUGACACAGCAACAUUUGUUGCCGUUCUACCUGCACACUGCGCCUAACGUUGGCACCCUCUUACAACUGCAACAAUUGCUGCCAUUCGACCAACUUGCUUUGACAAACCCAGCAGUGUUCUACCAACAACCCAUCAUUGGUGGUGCCCUCUUUUAGAUUGCUUAUGAGUUAUAGUUCAAUAAUAAAGUUUUUUUUGCUGAUAUUUGUGGCUUCCCAGAAAUAAGAAAGUACAUUUCUAGAUUCUUAUGUGCUUCUAGUCUCCAAAUGUGGUUGAUAGUUAUUUUGCUCUAAGAUCGGCAGUAAUGAGGUAUAAAUACUUGUUGUCGUGUGCUACUCGGUUAAUUGAGCAUUAACACACAUAAACAUUACAAGGAUGGUAUAAUCUCCUAAAAUGUGUACAUUGUUAGGUGUAACCCUAUAGCCAUGCAGAAUGUGCUAUGUUAGGCAUGCCGAUGGAAACGUGUGACACAUACGUUUUGUUAACCUAUUGAUAUUAUAUGUGCCUUUUAUAUUACCAUAUUUUAUUAAAAUACUAAUAUUUAUUACUAGUAAGAUAUAACAUUCUAUCUAGCUUAAAAACUAACCAUAAAUAUUCCAUCAUAACUAGAUUUACCAAACUAAUAUACUAAAUAUACAUAAUAAAUACAAAAUUAACAAUACAAUAUCAAUAUUUAUGAGCUUAAUAAAUUUAAACAUUAUGGUUGGCCGACGAUAAUCAUACUGACUUUCCGUAAUUGCUUGAUUGUAAAUAUACUUAGACUAAUGCCUCUUUGUUCUACAUGGCAAAUAGGGACCACUCUAGGAGACUAGGAUGUUGCUUGAGACGAAGAUGUUAUCAUUGGUGUAGACUAAUUUCUAUCAGCCGCUGACUUCACUAUUGUAACCAUUAUCUCUUGGGUAAAUCAUAUACGAUUAUCUAGCCAAAGGCCCAGAUGAUAAAAACAAUUUUUAAUUGCUAUUUCAGGACAAAUGAAUUAGCAUGGUUCGAAGGAUUGCGACCUUCCCCCCAUGACUUUUAUCGUAUUGUGUUAGUCUAAUCGACAAAACCAAGAUUAGAUAUCAUCGAAGAAGUUGAUAAGCGAAUCUGUGACCACUAUCAGAAUCAGCUGCUUUGCCGAGUGUCUAAAACACUCGACAAAGCCUGAAAAACACUCGGCAAAGGAUUUGCCGAGUGUAACACUCAGCAAAGAAAGCUCGGCGAAGUAUACAUCGGCAACGACUUCUUUGCCGAGUACUUUUUAUCGGGCACUUGGCAAAGAAGCGUCAUUGUCACGACGAUAGGUAAUGCCGACGGAGUCUGUGACGAGUGUCACAGAGUGACGCUCAGCAAAGGCUCACUCUUUGCUGAGUGACCACUGUACAGACACUCGGCAAAGAAGCCCCCGUGGGUCCCUUUAUCAGGGCCUUUGCCGAGCGUAUUAGGUGGCACUCGGCAAAGGCUCCAUCUUUGGUGACUGCCCGCCAGACUAGCAAUCGACAAAGGGAUCAACAGCGGAUCCCUUUGUCAGUUCUUUUGUCGAGUGCUCUAGGAGGCACUCAAUAAAGCUUGUGUUGGGGGCCUUCUUCUUCCGAAGGUCCUCAAAAACGUGACUAACCAUAGGUUUUCAGUAUGACAUAGACUAUUAUAGGAAGCUUUGGCUUUGGGAUGAAGGCGUGUGAUAUGAGGAUACAGCCCAAAGGCAACAUGGAUGGACGUCGAAGCUAUGGCUAAAGGAGUUUCGGCUUGGCAUGUUAGCGAAGAUGAAGGACGAAACCGACCUAAGGGAGAAAAGACUAGUUAGUCCUUGAUAGUUUGCAUUAUGAUUAAGAGCAGAUAUCAGGGGCAUGCAUGUAAUCUUAUCCGGGCUGCGUCCCGUGCCUAUGAAUAGAUGAAUAGUAACACCGUACUGUUCACGCUGGAUUAUAAUCGCUCCUACGUCACUCUCGCGUCUUCACCUUUUGGUAAGCUGAAGGUAUCAAUGUAAUACAAAUAUUGAUGAUGUUUAUUCAUGUUUAUGAAAUGAGAAUAUAAAUAGCUUGCUGAUUCGUAAUCAUUAUUUAUAUUCUUUUGUAUUUCAUGUACCCUUAUUUAGAUGUGUUCACUGAGAUGAUGAAGGUAUGCCCUUCAUGACCUUCGUUCGGAAACCAUUAUAUCCAAAAGGAGAUAAUGCUUCGAAGGACGAAGGUCUCUAAUUAUUGACAAUCAUGUUGUCUUGUUCUUGAUGUAUAGCAUUUGGGAACAAGGACCAACAUUGGCGCCCACCUCCCGUGAACUCAAUCGACCACCUUCGGCAAGCAUCGACUUUCGUAAUGCCGCCGAAGAAGACAAUAGUGCCAGGGGCUGCCCUGCAGCCACUGGACACUAAUCAGGAAACGCUGCGAGAAGCUAGGAUCUAGAAGAGGAAGGCUACUAGCCCAACACCUCAGGAGGAGGAGCUAGAUCAGGAGAUCAGAGAUUUGGAGGCUAUCACCAGCAGGUACAAAGAAAAAGGGAAAAGAUGCUUCAGCUCGUCGAACUUCAGAGAAAGAUCGACAAAGCUGCUGAAGAAAUGCGUCACCUUACCCAGGAUGACCAAGACCGAAGGCCCCAACAUAGGGAGCUUCAUCAAGAAAGCCCAAUUAAUGACGAUGAGUGGUAUGGUGACUUUCAUCGUGGCAAUUUUGCUUUUGAUGAUGCUUCUCCCUUGGCAGCAGAAUUGCAGGCUACCCCGUGGCCGCCAUCAUACAAGCCACCUCAGCUCCCCAUGUAUGACGAGCACUCAGACCCGAAGCAACCAUAUCCUCAUAUGGGGGCAAUACUGCGGUCAUGGCAAAGUCCUUCGUCAUGGCAGUUAGAAGCGUGGCUCAAACAUGGUGCUCUUCUCUUCGGCCAGGGACAAUUACGUCGUGGCAAAAGCUAAAAUACAUACUGGUCACUAGCUUCUAGGGUUUCCAAUCGAAACCAGUUACUGUCCAAACUCUGUUCCAGUGCACACAGGACCAAGAAGAAUACCUCCAAGCGUAUGUCCGAAGGUUCCUGCGAUUGAGAGUUCAGGCGCCUACAGUGCCCAAUGAGAUUGUCAUUGAGGCCAUGAUCAAGGGGUUCAGACCAGGACCAACGGCGCAAUACUUUGCAAGGAAGCCACCACAAACCCUAGAGAAGCCGACGAUGAUUUUCGGCAAAGAAGGCAAGAAGCCUACAGAUACUCUGAGAUGGCCAGGGGCUUCGGAGGAAGAUUUCACCCUAGGCAUGUCAGGUCAAUCCAUAAUACCAGCUCAAGUGACGACAAGGGAAACCAUACCCAAAGGCAGCAACACAGCUCUCAGUCGUCAGGAGCACAACAAAGCUCUUUGAGGCCACCGGCUCCAAGAGGUAGAGGGGGGAGAAGCUUCGGAGGAAGAUAUGGAGAUCAGCCCAGUAAACAGUUUUGUUUGUUCUGCGGUGAAGAUAAGGGGCAUACCACAAGAACGUGCCAAGUUAUGAUUCAGAAGCAGAAAGAAAUUGCUGAAGCUGAAGCACGUUCGAAUCAGCCGAAGCAGGUUCUGCAUACUGCUUCGUGCUACUCUCCCUACGUCCCGGAGUAUGUAGACAAUCAACAGCCUACGACCUUGGUCGCUUCGGCAAGCCAUUCUCAAGCUUCCUGGGCCCAGUUGCCACCACCACCACCGCUAGCACAUGCUCUGGUCCGCAAUCAAUAGCCAGAAGGGCACCACCAUGCUUAGUAAUAGCGCGACCUUCGGGAGGAGUCCGAAGCUCGCACAGUCAACAACAUUGUGCCUAAGUCGAAGCACAUCUAUUAAAGGUGCCACGGUGAUUCAAUUAAAGAAUAUCUUACCCUAAUGUAUCUUAGUUUUUCCGCCAUUUUAUUUUCUUGCAUGAAAAACAAUUCACGAAGGAUUAAUUUCCAAUUUGAUGUAAUAAUACCGUGGUCGCACCAUCGAGUGUGGAGCGCAUCGCCUUAACAAUACUUCCGAAGCUACAAAGACGUUCCUAAGGGAGCGCGGAGUAAGUUCUGAAGCUACAAAGUUGUUCAUAAGGGAGCGCAGAGUAAGUUCCGAAGCUCAAAAGUCGUUCUUAAGUGAAUGCAGAGCCAAGAUGCCACCAAAAUAAAAGGUGAAGAAGCUCAAAAGUCAUUCCUAAGGGGAUGCAGAGCUUAAAUGCCACCGAAAUAGAAGGUGAAGAAGUUCCAAAGUCGUUCCUAAGGGGAUGCAGAGCUUAGCUCCAAAGAUGUUCCUAAGGGGAUGCAGAGCUGAAAUAUAACCUAAGUAAAAAGUGAAGAGACUCAAAAGUCGUUCCUAAGGGGAUGCAGAGUCUGGAUGCAUUUUCGAGUGGGUGUGUUUCUUCGGCAUAAACAUCAUGCUGUAUCAUAUCAUCACAUCAUUUCUCAUAGCAUUACAUCAUACAUCACAUCACAUCAGCAACAGAACUGUGGAGAAGCAAAGAUGCUUCUUUCAAAAUAUUUGAUGAAUGGAACAAUGGGCUGAAGCAGAAAGUGUACCUUCAACAGCUAUAAUUUUACAUACCAAGAAAAAUCUUCGUCGACAAACAAUAUUAUAUAACAGCUACGACAUAAGAAGGGGUGAUUUUUUAUUUGUGAAGCAUGAAAAGAAGGGAAGGUGUUUUUUCACCAAAGGCUAAAAAACAGGUAAGUACAUACAUUUCAUGCAUCACAAAGAAAUAUAUUACAUUAAUAUACAAACAAAUGUUCGAUGUUCGACUCAUACACGAAUAUUACAUUUCUUAGUACACAAGAAUUUAGUCUUCUUUCAAUAUUUUCUCGGUAGCUUCAUGUAGGAGUUUGUUGACAGCUUCAUCAACGGCUUCUUCGGCAAUCCUUAUCGUUUCUAAUGCCCCCCUCAUGGCCGGAUCGGCCUCGGGAUCAUAUGGCUCAGGCGGUGGUGAAAAAUCAGCUGUAAUAAAGAACAAGUUGUUAAUAUCAAAGCCAGAAACAAAUACUGAAGCUAAAAUUCAGUAAUAAUACCUAUACGCCUUGCGCGCUCAGCAACCUCUUGGCUCGCUUAGCUUAUUCUCGAGCAUCAUGGGAUUCUUUUUCAUUUGUCUUUAUAGCUUCAUCGGCUAUCUCACGGCCACCUUUCAUCCAAACAUUGGAAUAAAACUUCUCGCCCAUCAAAGUAGCUUCGGCCGAAGGCUCCUUCAUGUCGUCUAUGGAGAAGACGGCUUCCGCCUGGGCUGCAGUUUUAACAUGUUCACAGCCAGUUUUCUCCAAAACUGCUGCAACCCCUCGGGCACCGGCGAAGGCACAAAAAUCCUCGCGUUCGCUAAGUAUUUCCUCAAAAGCUUCAACUUCUUCGCAAAUCCAUUGAACGACUCCUUUUGGAUCGCCUCGAAUAAAUUUUUGCUCCGAUGAGUAUGCACCCACCUUUGCAAAACUGUCUUUCAGUUUCUUUGCAUAGUCCAUGGAUACUUCGUAGCAUUUCUCUCUGGAACCCCGAAGUUCUUCAACAUUCUUCUCAAGCCUGGAGCUUGUCCAUUCACUUAUAUCUUACUUUGCCUUAGCAAGUUCAAUAUUUUCGCUCAUUUCGGCAAGUUUUUUGUGAAGGUCUUCGACUUCGGCUUGGUGAGCUUCGGAUUGUGCAUUAAGUUUUGCUUCGUUGCUCUUCAGUUUAUCCACCAAGGAAAGCAGUAUUUUAUCUUUUUCAAGCGCCUCGUUCCUUAAUGUAAUAACUUAUGACCGAAGGUUCCCAAGGGCUAUUUGGCAGCUUUCAUCUUCUGCAUUCUUUUGUGCCCUUAAAGCCUUGCUUAGGAUUAAUGCCUACAAAAAAUGAAGGAUCAGCACACAACAAUAAGAAAAGAUACAAAAAGUAAUCUGCUUAUAAGCUAAAAUGUCCUCACCAUCAGACUGUUAUAAGCAAGGAUGUCUGCAAGGUCAUCUUUCGACAUUGCAGACAACCCAAGCUCUAGCUUCGGGAAACCUAUAUUUUUUGCCAUCUCCCGACAAACAAAUAUUUUCUUGUUGUCUGGAAGGCAAUACAAAAAAUCAUCUUCGUCAGUGCCAUUAAACAUGAGGGAUCCUGGGGGAUACUUCAGAUCCUUAGCAAAUUGCCUAGCUUCGGCAACCUGCUCCUCUGAUAGUUUUUCCCUACCGCGUGACACACUAUAAAUUCCGAUCCCUCAGUAGAAGCUUCAACGGCAAGGAAUUCAGAUUCUUUGCUGGUUCUCUCUUUUCCUAACGGUAACGGAGCUUUUUCAGCAUCCAAAGGUCCUUUUUCAGCAUCCUUUUCAAUAAGCUCUGCAGGCCCUAUUUCUGCGGGAACUGAGGGCCCAGCUUCAGCUUCAACCCAAGUUAUGAUAGCUUCGGCAGUUUCCUUUGUACUUUUCUUACCCAUGCUAGGUACUUCUGUAGAGGCAGGAGUUAGUACUUUUGUCGAUUCCAUGACAGCAUCCAGUACACUAGCCAUUCUCCUCCUUUUUGGAGUUAUCAAAGUAGUUUUUUGAAUCUUCGGCAAUUCUGCCUCUGGCCGUGAAAAAGUUUUUGGCUGCUCCGCUGCUAUCUUCAGAAUUGGCUCUUCGGCUGAUCCCAAUAUGGCUUCGGCAGUAGCGAGAUGAUUUUGCUCAGCUGCAGAAGAAGACCCUUCAACAGGCUUUGACACUUUGGCCGUCUCAGAGUGCCUGGGCCGGUGUGUCAAGACUUUGCCAUUUUUCCCUUCGGCGUGGCAGAGAUUGCCGAAGCAGUAGCCUUCCUUUUCUUUCCCUGCUUUCGCGAGGGAUAACAAUAGUCUGGGUACACAAAACCAAUUACAUCAAAAACCCUAUUUAAUCUCUUCUUGCCUCGUCCUCCGAAGGCCAAUGUCAUGGCAUCGUCUUCGGCCCUUGUGUAGGCCCCAAGCAAUUCGUCACUAGUAGCCUCAAUGCAAUCCAACCAGUCAUCGUUCGGCUCAUCGAACUGAUCUCUGUAUCUGAAGGUGUAUUUCAGAUAAACUAAACUAACUUGACUGGACCCGGCCGCAGCUUCCUUCGACAUCUCCCAGCCACUUCCAAGAGGCCACACUCUGUAAGCAAUAUGCUCCUAGACUAAGUCCCUAGUGCCAAUAUAAGUACAUAAAGUGUUAAAGUCCGUAUGGCAUGCUUGAAUAUCAUGUCCAUGGACAGUGGUUGGCCUCCUAAUGCCGAAGCGAGACCAGAUAGGGCAUUGAAUGAUCCCCUUUAUAUCUUCUCUUUCAACUAAGUUGUUCUUCACAUAAAACCACUCUUGCAUCCAGGCUCCUGGCCACCUCUUCCAAAAUGUUGGGACGGGAUAGCUCACACCAGAGCGAGGCAUGAAGCCGUAACAACGAAAAUUAUUAUGAUAUUGUUCUAUGCCAGUAGCCUUUGUCUCAUAGGACAGGUCAUGCAUGUUGCAGAAGCAUUUUGCAUUCGGCUCUAAACCCUGGCCCAAAUGAAAACUCCCAUUCUGAUGAUAUCUUCGGGGGUAAUUUGAUGAAGGUAAAUUUCAAAAGUCUUCAAAACUUCAACUAAAAAUUUGUUCAGGGAGAAUCGAAGCCCUGCUUUCAUAGAACUCCUGUAGACAACAACUUCGUCUGCUUCGGGCAUAGGGGCACUGCUAUCUCCUCUGGCCCUCAUGAUAGAAAUAUCGCGGAAGUAUCUUCCUUUCAUUGCAUCAAUCUGACUCUGUUUGAUGGUUGAUUUAGCAAAGAUGGUAUGACUCGGUCGCCAGGGCUGAUCUUCGACAUCUUCGUUUCCACUUUCUAAGUCAAAACUUUCACUAUCGCUGGAAUCUUCAGACAACCCAACCAACAUCUCAUUGGUGAUCUUCUUCAUAUUUGUCUUCUCCAUAGCUUCAUAAAACCCGGCCAAUGCAGGGUCAGCAAUCUUCUUCUCUUUAGCCAUUUAGACAACGAUUGCACGAUUGUCGAAGCUUAAAACUCAAUCAAAACUCGACAGAGCAAGAGAAUUCAGAAUGUCUAAAAUAGCGCAAGCAACUGAAAUAGCACAGCAAAUGCUGCCAAUGCGAGUUUCUAUUUAUAUGCCUCACGAUUUGGUGGGCCAUACAUGUCAGUGGCUUUCGCUAUUCUAGCGAAGGGAAGGUGUUUUUUCGGAUCUUCGGUUAAAGGCCUUCGUUCACGUCACAGUCUAAAUUUGUUACAAAGAAACAAAUUAAUACUACGAGGGGCUACUGUUGGGGGCCUUCCUUUUCCGAAGGUCCUCAAAAACGUGGCUAACCAUAUGUUUUCAGUAUGACAUAGACUAUUAUAGGAAGCUUCGGCUUUGGGAUGAAGGCGUGUGAUAUGAGGAUACAACCCGAAUGCAACAUGGAUGGACGUCGAAGCUAUGGCUAAAGGAGCUUCAGCUUGGCAUGUUAGCGAAGAUGAAGGACGAAACCGACCUAAGGGAGAAAAGACUACUUAGUCCUUGAUAGUUUGCAUUAUGAUUAAGAGUAGAUGUCAGGGGCAUGAAUGUAAUCUUAUCCGGGCUAUGUCCCGUGCCUAUAAAUAGAUGAGAAGUAACACCGUACUGUUCACGCUGGAUUGUAAUCGCUCCUACAUCACUCUCGCAUCUUCACCUUUUGGCAAGCCGAAGGUAUCAAUGUAAUACAAAUAUUGAUUAUGUUUAUUCAUGCUUAUGAAAUGAGAAUAUAAAUAGCUUGCUGAUUCAUAACCAUUAUUUAUAUUCUUUUGUAUUUCAUGUACCCUUAUUUAUAUGUGUUCACUGAGAUGAUGAAGGUAUGCCCUUCAUGACCUUCGUCCGGAAACCAUUAUAUCCAAAAGGAGAUAAUGCUUCGAAGGACGAAGGUCUCUAAUUAUUGACAAUCGUGUUGUCUUGUUCUUGAUGUAUAGCAUUUGGGAAUAAGGACCAAUAGCUUGCUUCUUUGCCGAGUGCCAAGGCCACAGCACUCGGCAAAGAGUCUUUACCGGUGCGCAGGUGUGCCUUCUUUGCCGAGUGCUAUGACAUUGACACUCGGCAAAGUAUCUCUUUGUCGAGUGUAACACUCGACAAAGUGACCAGAUUAUCCCUUUUUAUUUGUUUUUGCUAUUCCAUCCAAACAAAUAAAAGAUAUAUCGCAUAAUCAUCACAUAUACAUCAUAGAUAUCACAUAAUCAUCGCAUACAUAAUAGAGACUGCAUAUUUCACAAAAAACACAAAUCUCACAAGUUUUUCUCAAACAUGUCCAUGUUCAUACCAAGAUUCACUAACAUAAGUAUCACACAACUCUAAAACAUAAGUUUUUCACAAACAUAAGUUUAGGACAAGUUUAUCACACAAGCUAAGAGAAGAUCAUGAGCGAGGUGGGCGGCUGGACUGGUGCGGCGACGGGCUGGGCGAUCCACGAGGGUUGUUGGAUGCCGCCCUAGAUUGUCCCUGCACAGAGAAGAGAUUGCCUGUGUUAUACUAGAUAAAUAUACAUCAUGCAGGACUAGAAUUUUGAUACUCAUAGGAGUAUGGAACUGAGCAGGGUCAACUGGAGGGAACAACGGAGGUGGUGGAGCAAAACCCUGUGCGGUGCCAAGGCUCUGCAUGUACUGGAACAUCUCUGCCAUCCUCUGUUGAUUUUCCAUGUGGGCCUCCCGCUCCGCCAUCAUCCUCGCCUCCAUAUCCUACCGUUCCCUCCUCUCUUCUUCUAGCUAGGCAUAUAAUAUUUCAACCCAGUGUUAUAAUAACUCAAAGAGAAGGUAUAUAACUCAAGGAAAGACGAGUUACAGAAGCACUAACCUGGAGUUGUUGUAUCUCAUGAUGUGAGUUGUCCUGUCGAGGUCGUAUGGCUGGGCUUGAGCUCGUGGUCCUUGCUCGCACCUGAGACAGAGUGGGAGUGGACAACGAGUCGAUUGUCCCGUCGGCAAUCCAGUACCUCCCAUGCCUCUUGCCUCCUCUGACCCUCAUGAGAACAUCUCCGUCGAUUUCCUUGGUCCUCGGAUCGUAAUCUGGCCCAUGGACCUCAUGUGACAUGGCAGUGUACUCACUUAGGCGGUUGUAGACGGCGGAGUUGCUAUAUGCCUCGGGCCCGUCAUCCGGGUUGUAGGUGACAUCGGACGUCGCCUUUCCCUUGUGGGCCAUAGCAUAAACCGAGAAGAUGGAGCAUGGCUGGCCACCAUGUAACACCAAAUGCAAUAAAAUCAAUGAGAUAGUUAGAAAUAAUAUCUAAACCAGUGCUAUAUACCUAAAUAAAAAGAGGGCGUACCCAUGCUUCUACAUAUUUCCAGAGGUUGCGACUGCCUUGGUGGUGGGAGGGACCUUACAUCAUCAAAUGUCGUUCCAUGCUAGCGUUGUGCGCCUCGUCCCACUUAGGCGAGCACCACCUAUCCACCAUCUGCUCCUAGCACUGAGGAUGCGCGGCGCACCAAUAAGGAAUCAUCUACAAACUAAAACAAGUACAUUGCAUAUCAGAAGAUAAAAUUAAGCAAUUUUUUUCACGAAUAUUAAAGUGAUGUAUUUACCUGCAAGUAUUGGUCCCUAGUCAACGACAUGGUUCGGGCCUCUUGUUUGGUCACCUUCUCUCUAAGGACGGAGCCAUGGUAGAUGAUGAUGACCUAGAUUCGUGCAUCGUAGUGCAUGUCCACGACGAGCUUCUUACAGCUUGUGGUGGCCACCACAUUUGCCCUGGCCUCGUAUCCAGCCUCGCAUCUGAAGAAAUCCUACAUACAAAGGCGAUAUAUCCAUACAUUAUUUCAAGUAUGUGCAACAAAUGCGACAUAUUUUACAAUAUAGUAAGACUUACUCAUAGCUUUUGCUUCACCCGCUCUGCCAUGUUGUUAAAUUCCCUAUCGUCCUAGUCUACUGCAUCAGGGGUGACGACGUAGUGGUCGAAGGUGUAGGCAGUAGGUUGGGCCCACCACUCCAGCGUACUCAACCAGUCCAGGGAAGUGUUCCCUACACAUAAGGCCAAGGAUGCCAUUGGGUUGUGGUCGUGACUCCCUGCAUUCUCCACAACCUUUCAAGACCUGUCCAAGUGAUAAAUAAAAAGUAUUAGUUUAUAUUAUGAAUUUGAACACAUAAUAUGAACAAACAGUGAGAACAUAAAAUUACAUGUCUCUCCCCAUCCUUCUGAAUCAGCGACCGCCUAUCUCGAAGUAUGGGACGCUGAGGGAGACUCGUGGGACCUCGCUGGUAGACGUUCCUCGAAUCUGAAGCACCAGAACCUGAGGCGUCUUGCUGAGCGUCGUCGUCGUCCUACUGUGUCGCAUCGAUAACGACCUGCUGCUGGACGUCGUCAUCCUGUUGUGCCUUCUUCGCCUUCCUACGGGUGCUCCUCCUCCCCCUCCUUGUCCUCAUCCCACCGCCCACCAUAUUUGUCCAACAACCUGUAAUUAAGGGUAAGCAAAUAAGCACAUAUAAAAAAGUUUAUUUACAAAUAGGCGUGAAAUAAAAAAAAUAGCAUUACAUCGUUUAAAAAAAUCUUCAUAUGUGUCGGGGUUAGCCAGAUCAUAAGUGUCAUCAUCACAAUCAACCAUUUCAUAGUCAACACCAUCUGAAGGCGCAAGUUCUUCAUUAAUGUCAUUGCCUUCAAGUAAUUCUAAGUCAUUCUCAUUUUGCACCUCAUCAACAACCAUUUCAAUAUCUACUUCCAUUCCGAUAGCUUCGGUUAAGUCUAUCUCAAAUCACCCUUCUAGCCCAUAUUCUUGGAAGAACUCUCCAUCAUAUGUAUCCGGGUCUAAGUUAUAAUCUUCAUCAUUUGGAACAGGUAAUUUACCGUGCAGUGAUACCUUAUACACAACAUCCCAACCCAUCCAUGCCUCAUAUAGGAGAUGAAGAAUCAAAUGCUGCAUUGGAUUGAAGAAGUCGAGUGGAAAUAUCUUCUCAAGCUUACACAAAAACACGGGUGUCAAUCUUUCCAAGUCUGCAAUCACGGACCAAGAUAACUCUUUCACACAAAGCUGGCAGAAUAAAUAGCUGAACUUUGUAAGCGCUAGCCAUACAUGCUCAGGGACAUAGCCUCGAACCAUCGUCGGAAGAAUCUGUUCAAUCCAUAAGUGGAAGUCAUGACUCUUCAUCCCUAAGACUCACAGAGUAGAUAAGUUCACCCCCCUACUUAGGUUAGCUGCAUACCCAUCAGGAAACAUCAACAUCUUGAUCCACUAAAGUACUUCCUUCCUCUGGGCCCUACUUAGGACGAAAUCGGCCUUAGACCUUCUCCAUGUCUUUCCACCACUAGGCGGCUUCAUUUCUUGGUUUGGUCUAUCACAUAACGCUGUCAGAUCCACUCUUGUCUUUACAUUAUCCUUUGACUUAUCAGGAAUGUCCAUAAUUGUUGCCCAAAGUGCCUCGGCGACAUUCUUUUCAGUGUACAUCAAGUCAAUGUUGUGUGGAAGGAGUGGGUCAUCAUAAUAGGGGAGCCGAGUCAAGCCCGACUUAUGUGUCCACAUAUGCUGCUCACCAUAUCCCACAAAUACACCUUCUGGAUUGGCCACGAGCCCAUCUAUUUGUUGACGAAUUUCGGCACCAGUCAUCAUUGCAGGUGGUUGGUCUGUCACUACAACACCUUUCGUAAAGUUAUUGAUGUCUAGGCGGAAUGGAUGGUUAGGAGGGAGAAAUUGUUGAUGUUUAUCGAACAACGAAUAUUUGCCACCCUUUUUCAACCAAAUGAACUUAAGAGCUUCCUUACAAACUAGGCAUGGGAACUUACUGUGAACACAAUAGACACAGAAUAGCCCAUACGCCGGUAAGUCAUGCAUGGCGUACUAGUACCAAACAUGCAUUUUGAAGUUUUUCUUCGUAGCUCGGUUAUACGUCCAUACCCCUUCCUCCCAAGCAUGUACGAUUCAUCAAUCAAAGGCUCCAUGUACACGCCCAUUUUAUUCCCCGGGUGUCCGAGAAUUAUCAACGACACAAAUAUGUUCUGCCUUUAAAAGCAUACACCGGGGGGAGAUUGAUUGGGAUAACAAACACGGGCCAACAUGUGUAUGGGGCAGCGCUCAUUCCAUAGGGAUUGAACCCAUCUGUGGCCAGCGCAACACGUACAUUAUGAGCCUCUUCAGCUUUCUCGCGGUAAAUGGCAUCAAAGUGUUUCCAUGCUUCACCAUCGGAUGUGUGCACCAUCUUAUCAUGAUUGUAUCGUUUGCCAUUUUUGUGCCAUGUCAUCUGUUUCGCGGAUUCCUCAGUCAUGUAUAGACGCUGGAUCCUCGGUGUGAACGGAAGGUGGUGUAGGAUUGUCACGGGGAUGUCGAGCUGCCUAUCAUGUCCAUCACCAAAGUCUACCUCCAUGAACCUAGACGAUUUACACUUCGGACAGUACUUUGCUUCCGUGUAUUCUUUCCUAAAUAGCACGCAGUCCUUCGGACAAGCAUGUAUCUGCUCAUAUGUCAUCUUGAGUGCACGGAGGAGUUUCUGUGUGUUGGGGACCUUCGGCAUCCGAAGGUCCUCAAAAACGGGAUUUAACAGUAUUUCUGGAAGUAUAAUGUGUGAGCAGGUACCUUCAGACUCAAGUCGGUAUCACGGCAGGAGAAGACCCGGAUAAUACGAAGGUCUUGAUACAACGCCGAAGAUGUUAGCAGGAAAGCUUCGGCAUGGUUGCAGAAAAUGAAACCGACUUAAAGAUGAAAAGGCUAUUCAGACCUCGAUAGAUUACUAUAGAAUUAUUAUCAAAUGUAAAGGGCAUGAAUGUAAUUUUGUAUGGGCUGUGUCCCGUGCCUAUAAAUAGGUGAACAGAACCCCCGUACUGUUCACGCUGACUUGGCAUUCGCUUUUUGCGUCACGCUUGUACUGUCAUCUCCUUCCGAUUGAAGGUACACUUGUAAUUCAACGAUAUUUCUGUUUAUGUCUGAUAAUAAUAUAUAAUUGUUCAUAUUGUCUUUUAUGUUCUUUACAUUUCAUUCUUCGUCAUUGCUUAAUGAAUUUAUGAAGGUACGUCCUUCAUAACCUUCGUCCGUAAACCAUUAUAUCCUAAGGGAAAUAAUGUUUCGGAGGGCGAAGGACUUUAACGAUUAACAUUUUCUAUGUUGCCUUGUUCUUAACUCAUAGCACUUGAGAACAAGUCCCCAACAUUGGCGCCCACCUCCGGUGAACUCACUUCCACUCUUUGAAGUUUUUUGAACACCUUCGGCGAUCAUAAAUCUUCGUUAUGGCGCCGAAGAAAGCUUCAGCGACUGGGGCUGCAGCUCUGCAACCACUGGACCACAAUCAGGAGACAGUUUCCCUGCGGGAGGCCCGAAGCCAGAAAAGGAAGGCUGUCAGUCCGACACCACCAGAGGACGAGAUAGAUCAAGAAAUCAGAGAUAUGGAGAUGCUUCAUCAACAAGUACAGAGGAAGAAAGAAAAGAUGGCCAGGCUAGCUGAACUGCAGAGGCAGAUAGACGAAGCCUCUGAAGAAGUUCGUCAUCUUGCUCAGGAUGAGCAACACCGAAGGCCUCAGCACCAAGACCUUCAUCAGGAGGGUUUUCCCAACGAAGAUGACUGGUAUGACAAUUUCCAUCAUGGGAAUUUUGUUUUUGAUGAUGCUUCUCCUCUGUCCGCUGAGCUGCAGGCUACACCUUGGCCUCCGUCCUACAAGCCGCCUCAGCUUCCCGUAUUCGAUGGUCACUCAGACCCGAAGCAGUUUUUGAUGAGCUACGAAGCAACAGUAUCUUCGUAUGGUGGCAAUGCUUCAGUCAUGGCCAAAUCUUUCGUUAUGGCUGUCAGAAGUGUUGCUCAAACCUGGUAUUCCUCCCUUCGACCAGGAACGAUCACUUCAUGGCAGAAGCUGAAGGACUUGUUGUUAACUAGCUUUCAAGGAUUUCAGACGAAGCCGGUCACUGCUCAGGCUCUGUUCCAGUGCACCCAGGAUCACGAAGAAUACCUUCAGGCGUAUGUCCGAAGGUUCUUGCGUUUGAGGGCACAGGCACCAACGGUGCCCAAUGAAAUUGUCAUCGAGGCCAUGAUCAAGGGGCUUCGGCCAGGACCGUCAGCUCAGUACUUCGCCAGGAAGCCUCCUCAAACUUUGGAGAAGCUGCUCCAGAAGAUGGACGAGUACAUUCGGGCCGAUAAUGAUUUUCGCCAAAGAAGGGAGGAGGCUUUCAGGUUUUCUGAAAUGACCAGGGGCUUCGGAGGGAGGUUCUACCCGAGGCACGUGAGAUCAAUUCAUAACUCUACACAAAAAUGAUGAUAGAGGAAGCCAACAGCAAAGGCCACAAUGCUCCUCACAGGCUUCGGGGCAACAGCAAAGCUCCUUCCGACCACCAGCUCCAAGAGGCAGAGGCGCCAGGGGCUUUGGAGGAAGAUUUGGAGAUCAACCGAGAAGAAUCUUUUGCUUAUUCUGCGGUGAGAACAAAGGCCAUACUACCAGGAUGUGCCAUGUUACUAUUCAGAAGCAAAAGGAAAUAGCUGAAGCCGCAGCACAACAAGCUCAGCCGAAGCAGGUCAUGCAUACAACUUCGUAUCAUUCGCCCUACAUCCCAGAAUAUGUGGGCAACCAUCCUGCAGUUUCUGUUGCUUCGGCAAGUCAGCCUCAAGCUUCCUGGCAACAGCCUCCGCCUCCACCUCCGUUGCAACAAGGCCAGCAACCAGAAGGGAGCCAGUAUGCUCCACACCAGAGGGACUUCAGAGAGCAGUCCGAAGCUCGUACAGUCAAUAGCACUGUGCCAGAGUCAAAGCACAUCUAUUGACGAAUAUCCUACCUUAAUAGCAAUCUUUUUCAUUCAGUUUUAUUUUCUGUAAUAAAGGACAUUGUUUAGGUUUCAUGUAAUUAGUUUCGUUGAUUCCUACAAGAAAAAUAUGUUUUCCUCACAGGCUUAAAUUGAUUGAAGUUCAAAGACUUGUGAUAAAAAAAAGGACCUUCGAACUAUCGAAAAUUCUUCGAAGCAACAAAAAGUCGUUCUAAGGAACGCAGAGUAAGUUUGCCGAAGUCACAAAAAGUCGUUCCAAAGGGAGCGCAGUGUAAGUUUUCUGCUCCAAAGUCGUUCCAAAGGGAAUGCAGAGCAUACAGCGAAAAGUCAACGCUGAUACCGCCUAAGUAAAAGGCGAAGCGCGAAAAGUCAACGCGAAUACCGCUGAAAGUAAAAGGCGAAGAAGCUCCUAAGGGAGGCUUACAGCGAAAAAUAAACGCUGAUUCCGCUGAAGUAAAAGGCGAAGAAGCUCCUAAGGGAGGCUUAUAAAAGAUGUGUUUUAUUGCAGGGAUGCGUAUGUAUCUUCGGAAUAAACGUCAUCUCACAUAACAUAACAUCAUCGCAUCAUUUCGCAUAGCAUAAGCAUCAUACAUCAUUUUGCACAUGGCACAAGAGGUGGACACAUUAUUAAUCUACAGAAGAACGCUUUGAAAAAAGGGAGAAAUCAAAGUCACAAAAAGAUACAUCAUUGAUCUUCGGAAGUGUAUCUUCGGAAGUGUAGCUUCGGAAAAUAUCUUCACGAAGCCUGGAUAUUAAUCAUCAGAACAUUGGAUAUUGUUGUGACAAAGAAAAAUUCUUCUUCACGAAGCAUGAAAAGAAGGGAAGGUGUUUUUUCGUCAAAGACUCAAAAGUGGUACGUGUAAAGUUUCAUGCAUCGUAAAGAAUUGACUAACAAAAAUAGGUAUAUUACAUUUGGGGUUACAAAAUGUUACAGUAUAUUACAUUUCAGAAAGUUUUCACAAAAAUACUUAAUCUUCUCUCAAAACGACUUCUGCAGCCUCGUUCAGGAGCCGAUUGACGACUUCGUCCAUAAUAUCUUCAGCCAUCUUUUUAAUUUCGUCGUCUCCUUUCGGCUGAGGGCCCGAAGACGCUUUAGCACGAUCUGAAGUAAGACAGCAUGCGGCUACAUUGCUAUUACAAAUCGCAAACAAAUCUUAAAGCCUAAGAUUACAACACGAUAAAAACUAUUAGUUAAUACCUAAUUGACCUUCGGCCUCUGCGCUCUUUUCAGCAGCCUCAGCCACUUCUCUAGCAUCGUGAAUGCCCUUUUCACUUCUUCGAAUAAUUUCUCCGGCCAUUUCUCAGCCACCAUUAUCCCAGAUAUCGGUAAAACAUUUUCCACCAAUUAUACUAGCUUCGGCCGAAGGAUCUCUUGCAUCUUCAAAGGGCAAAGCAGCUUCGGAUUGUGCUAAAAUUUUUACAUGUUCGCAGCCCUUCUUCUCUAAGAUGGUGGCAAUCCCUCUGGCACCAGAGAAGGCACAUAUAUCUCCUCGGCUAUUUAAAAUUUCUUCGAAGGCUUCAGCUUCGUGGUCGAUCCAUUCGAUGACACCUUCGGGAUUGCUUCUCGAAAAGUUUUCCUCACUUGAGAAUGCGCCGACCUUGGCGAAGCUAGCCUUUAGCUUCUUAACACAAUCUAUAGAUUUAUUAUAGCAUCUCUUUUUGGACGAACGAAGCUCUUCAACAGUCACUUCUAGGUGAUCUGCCCAUUGAUCGCUGAGUUCACGCUUUGUUUCUUCAAGUAUGCGUUCUUCCUUGGCUCUGGCCAGUUGUUUCCGAAGAUCUUCAAUUUCGCGCUUCUGAGCUUCAGCUUGACCUUUAAAAGCAGCUUCGUCUUCCUUUAUUUUAUUUAUCAAUGAGUAUAAUAUUUUAUCUUUUUCGAGACCUUCGUUCCUCAGUUCAAUUACUUCGGAACGAAGGUUGCUCAGGGCUAUAGUACACCCUUCGUCUUCAGCAUCUUUCUGUGCCCUGAGGGCAUUGCUAAGUAUCAGGCCCUGCAAAGAGAAAUAUGUGUGCGUCAAUAGGUUUAAACAAACGAAAAAUACAAGGAUUUCAUUUCUCGCACCUUUAAGCUAUUGUAAGCCAGGCUGUCGGCCAGAUCGUUCUUCGACAGCACCGAGAGCCCGUCUUCUAAAGUUGGGAAUCCGAAGCUCUUGCUCAUCUCCCGACAGACAGAAAUUUCCUUGCUAUCGGGGAGACAAUACAAGAAGUCUUCUUCUCCACUGCCAUUGAAUAUUAACGCCCCCUUUGGAUAUUUCAGUUUUUGGGCGUAGUGCUGGGCCUCUUGCUCUUCUUUUUCUGAUAGUUUUUUCCCCGAAGCAUGGCGAACAAUAUAAUCACGAACUUUGGGGGAUGCUUCGGGGGCAAUGGCACCGGUUUCUUCAACAAAAGUUGGCUUUGUUAUUUUUUCUGCCUCACUUUCCAAGGAUUUUAUCUUUGCAGGCUCUGAGGGCCCAGCUUCGGCUUUAGUCUCUUGCCCUGAAGCUUUAGAUCCAGAAAUUUCAGUUGUUUCAGGAAUGACAGCAGCCCUCUUCGGAGGUGUGCUUGAAGAUUUGAUCGUUUCCAGUACAUCUAGCACAUUAGCCAUUCUCUUUCUUUUCGGAGUCACUGCUGGCACUUUCACUAUCUCAAUGUUUGCUGCAGGACUCAAAACUUCUGAUGUUUUGGAUCCCUCAGUUGAUUCUUUUACCUUUUCCAUUUUUUCUGUGGACGGCGCUUCGGCUUUCUCUUUCGUUUCUGAUAACAAAAUUUUUGAUUGUUCCAAUUCUAUCUUUGUUGGCACUUCGGCCGUUUCUGCGACUUCUGGCAGCAAGGUUGGCUCGGUUGGUUUUUCAGCUUCGGUGGCCGAAGAAGUUUCUCCGGUAAACUCAGGCACCGAAGCUGGUUCAAUAUAGCGCGGCCGAUGCGUAAGGACCUUUAUCUUCUUUCUUUUCGGUUCUGGCUCGCUAGGAGCAGUUGCAGCUUCUUCUUUUGCAGAGGUUGUGUUUUUUCUCUUCUGCCUUCGAAUGGGAUAGCAAUAGUCAGGGUAGACAAACCCGAUUGCAUCAAAUACCCGAUUCAGCCUCUUCUUUUUUCGGCCUCCGAAGGCUGCUGACAUUGCAGUAUCUUCGGCCUUCGAAUAGGUCCCAAGCAGCUCAUCACUUAAAUUUUCAAUGCUUUUUAACCAGUCAUCAUCUGGUUCAACGAAUUUAUCUCCAAACUUAAAAGUGUACUUCAACCUGAUAAGUCCACCUUCGUCGGCCUCUUUUAUGGUUUCUUGUGGCAUUUCCCAUUUCUCCGCAAGUGGCCAUACCCUGAAGGCGAUAUGCUCUUGUACUAAGUCCCUCGUUCCAAUAAAAGAACAGAUAACACCGAAGGCCCUCUGGCAUUCUUCGGCAGCCUCACUCAUUUCAACCUUCGGCCUCCGAAGGCCGAAGCUUUGCCAAAUAGGGCGCAUAAUUAUACCUUUGAUAUCUUCUCGCGCUGUCAGAUCAUUCUUCACAUAAAACCAUUCUGUCAUCCAGUCGCCGGGCCAUCUCUUCCGAAAGGUCGGCACGGGACAGCUUGACCCGGACCGAGAAACGAAAUUGUAGCAGCCAAAAUUAUUGUGAUACUGUUCCUUACCCCAAGGUUUUGUUUCGUAUGAUAAUUCGUGUAUAUUGCAGAAACUUUUUGCAUCAGGCUUCAGACCUUGGCUUCUCACGGCCCACACGAAGAUAUUUAGCCUUAUAAUUGCCUCAGGGGUAAGUUGAUGGAGAUAGACUUCGAAUAUUUUCAGUACCUCCACAACGAAGCUGCUCAAGGGAAAUCGCAGUCCAGCUUUCAAAAAGCUUCGGUACACUACGACUUCAUUCUCUUCAGGGUGUGGGCAAGUUUUUUCCCCUUCGUCGGCCCUCACAAUGGACAAAUCCCGGAAAUACCUUCCUCUCAUGUUGACAAGAUGAUUCUCUUUGAUAGUUGAUUUACCAUAAACUGAAUGGCUUGGUCGCCAGGGACGAUCUUCGGAGUCCUCACCACCACUGUCCACAUCAUAGCUGUCACUGUCACCAGUAUCUUCAGACAAACCUUCCAGAAUCUCCUUGGUAAUUUUUUCUGUAUUGGUCUUUGACAUCGCUAUAAGAAACCCCAAGUUUUUCUCUUCGUCAAGGCUCAGCUUCAUCUCAGCAACAGUCUUCUUAUCUUCAGACAUCUUCGGAGACGCUAAAAAACUAUUUUCAAAGCCGAAGCUUCAAAACUAAAAGCUUAGCAAAUCGCAGUGCACAAGAGCUAAAAAUUGAGUGAGCGGGAGUAGUUGGCCAGAAAGCGUGUCAAAUGAGUUUGCGGUAUGGCCGUAUUUAUACGCCAAGAGCGUUGAAAAUUCAAAGACCCCGCUUGUCAGUGAAUGUUGCUAUUCUAGCAAAGGGAAGGUGUUUUUUCGGACCUUCGGCGUAAAGCCUUCGUCCAUGUCGCAAUCUAAAUUCGUUAUUUUAAAACAAAUUAAUAUUGCGAGGGGCUACUGUUGGGGACCUUCGGCAUCCGAAGGUCCUCAAAAACGGGAUUUAACAGUAUUUCUGGAAGUAUAAUGUGUGAGCAGGUACCUUCGGACUCAAGUCGGUAUCACGGCAGGAGAAGACCCGGAUAAUACGAAGGUCUUGAUACAACGCCGAAGAUGUUAGCAGGAAAGCUUCGGCAUGGUUGCAGAAAAUAAAACCGACUUAAAGAUGAAAAGGCUAUUCAGACCUCGAUAGAUUAUAUAGAAUUAUUAUCAAAUGUAAAGGGCAUGAAUGUAAUUUUGUAUGGGCUGUGUCCCGUGCCUAUAAAUAGGUGAACAGAACCCCCGUACUGUUCACGCUGACUUGGCAUUCGCUUUUUGCGUCACGCUUGUACUGUCAUCUCCUUCCGAUUGAAGGUACACUUGUAAUUCAACGAUAUUUCUAUUUAUGUCUGAUAAUAAUAUAUAAUUGUUCAUAUUGUCUUUUAUAUUCUUUACAUUUCAUUCUUCGUCAUUGCUUAAUGAAUUUAUGAAGGUACGUCCUUCAUAACCUUCGUCCGUAAACCAUUAUAUCCUAAGGGAAAUAAUGUUUCGGAGGGCGAAGGACUUUAACGAUUAACAUUUUCUAUGUUGCCUUGUUCUUAACUCAUAGCACUUGAGAACAAGUCCCCAACACUGUGCCUCAUACAUGCUCUUUGGUAGAACGUGAUCCUCCGGAAGCAGGCUACCAAUAACUGUCAACAAGCAAUCGAAUGCGUCUUGACUCAUGUUAUACUGCGACUUGAACGCUAUUACAUGCCCAAUGGCAUCCAGUUGAGAAACCUUUGUCUGGCUGUGAAGGGGCUUCUGUGCCACGUCAAACAUGUCGUAGAACGCCUUUGCAAUCGGCUCUAGCUCGUCCUCCAUACAUCCUCCGACGAACUAUGCCUCAUGAUAGUCGUUCAACAUAUCUGCUACCCCCGCAUCAGCAUCAUAAUCCUCGACGUGUUGUCUCUGAAAGGGAAAUAAGCUUACACCUUUUCCUAAAUGAUUUUGGUGGUUGAAUUGCCCAACACAAAUAAUUGGACUAACUAGUUUGCUCUAGGUUAUAAGUUCUAUAGGUGCCAAAGGUUCAACACAUACCAAUAAAAAGUCCAAGAAAGGGUUCAAAUAAAAAGAGCAAAAGACAACCGAAGGCUGCCCUGGUCUGGCGCACUGGACUGUCCGAUGUGCCACCGGACAGUGUCCGGUGCACCAGAGAGAUUCACUCCAAACUUGCCACCUUCGGGAAUUUGGGAAGCCACUCCGCUAUAAUUCACCGGACUGUCCGGUGUGCCAAGCGGAGCAACGGUCGCCAACGCAAUGGUCGAGUUCAACGGUCGGCUGACAACGCUACAGUGCGCGGACUACGCGCGUAGAAGUCAGAGAAGGCGCAGAUGGCGCACCGGACAGUGAAGAGGACCUGUCUGGUGCACCAUCGGACUGUCCGGUGGCCCACAUGUCAGAAACUCCAACGGUCGAACCCUAACGGUUGGGUGACGUGGCUGGCGCACCGGACAGUGUCCGGUGGCGCACCGGACUGUCCGGUGCGCCCAUCGACAGCAGAGUUCCCCAACGACCACUUUGGUGGUUGGGGCUAUAAAUACCCCCCAACCACCACACUUCGAUGCAUCCAAGUUUUCAGCCAUCAAACCUCAUACAAGAGCUCUAGACUUCAUUCCAAGACACAAACAAAGAGAUCAAAUCCUCUCCCAAGUCUGGAAUCACUCCAAACAAAUUAGUGACUAGAGAGAGAGAGACUUUUGUGUUCUUUUAAGCUCUUGUGCUUGGAUCGCUUUUCUUCUUCCUCCUUUCUUGUUCUCAACUCAAUUGUAAUCAAAGCAAGAGACACCAAGUUGUGGUGGUCCUUGUAGUGGACUAAGUGUCCCGUUUGAUUGAAGAGAAAAGCUCACUCGGUCUAGGUGACCGUUUGAGAGAGGGAAAGGGUUGAAAGAGACCCGAUCUUUGUGACCACCUCAACGGGGAGUAGGUUUGCAAGAACCGAACCUCGGUAAAACAAAUCACCGUGUUCAUCUGUUUUAUUUCUUUGUUGAUUUGUUUUCCCUUUCUUUCGGACUUGAUUAUAUUUCUAACGCUAACCCUUGCUUGUAGUUGUGCUUAAACUUUAUAAAUUUCAGAUUUGCCUAUUCACCCCCCUCUAGGCGACUUUCAAUUGGUAUCAGAGCCCGGUACUUCAUUAGAGCCUAACCACUCGAUGUCAUGUCGGGAGCUCACGCCAAGAAGGAGAUGGUGACCGGCGAGAAGCCCGCCACAAGCCACGGGAAGGCUCCAUCGGGAGAGUCCGGCAACAAAAGGGAGGAAUCACCUCCCCACGUCAAGUCGCACCGGAGUGGUGACCAGAAGAAGAAAAUGAAGAAAGUGUUCUACUGUGAGACCGAUUCUUCGUCGCCAUCCACCUCCACGUCCGACGCGCCGUCCGUCACUUCUAAGCGCCAUGAGCGCAAGAAGUUUAGUAAGAUCUCCUUACGCUAUCCUCGUAUUUCCAAAUGCACUCCUUUACUUUCCGUCCCACUAGGCAAACCACCGGUUUUUGACGGUGAACAUUAUUGUAUGUGGAGUGAUAAAAUGAGGCACCAUCUAACCUCACUCCACGCUAGUAUUUGGGACAUUGUUGAGUUUGGUGCGCAGGAACCAUCCGUGGGGGAUGAAGGCUAUGAUUCGGAUGAGGUAGCCCAAAUCCAGCACUUCAACUCCCAAGCCACCACUAUACUCCUCGCCUCUCUAAGUCGAGAGGAGUAUAAUAAGGUGCAAGGGUUGAAGAGCGCCAAAGAGAUUUGGGACGUACUAAAGACCACACACGAAGGAGACGAGGUGACCAAGAUCACCAAGAGCGAAACGAUCGAGGGGGAGCUCGGUCGCUUCAUGCUUCAUCAAGGGGAGGAGCCACAAGCAAUGUACAACCGGCUCUAGACCUUGGUGAACCAAGUGCGCAACCUCAGGAGCACCAAAUGGGAUGACCAUGAAAUGGUCAAGGUUAUUCUAAGAUCACUUAUAUUUCUUAAUCCUACACAAGUUCAAUUAAUUCGUGGUGAUCCUAGAUACAAGAUAAUGUCUCCCGAGGAGGUUAUAGGAAAAUUUGUGAGCUUUGAAUUGAUGAUCAAAGGCUCCAAGAAAAUCAUCGAGCAAGGCGCCUCCUCCACACCCGAAAUGCAACUCGUCGCAUUCAAGGCAACAGAGGAGAAGAAAGAAGAGUCUACUUCAAGUAGACUUCCCAUCGACGCCUCCAAGCUCGACAACGAGGAAAUGGCGCUCAUCAUCAGGAGCUUUCGCCAAAUCCUCAAGCAAAGGAGGGGGAAGGACUACAAGCCCCGCUCCAAGAAAGUUUGCUACAAGUGUGGUAAGCCCGGACAUUUCAUUGCUAAAUGUCCAUUAUCAAGUGAUAGUGACAGGGGCGAUGACAAGAAGGGGAGAAGGAAGGAGAAGAAGAAAUAUUACAAGAAGAAGGGCGGCGAUGCCCAUGUAUGCCACGAGUGGGACUCCGAUGAGAGCUCCACCGACUCCUCCUCCGACGAGAACGCCGCAAACAUCGCCAUCAACAAGGGUCUUCUCCUUCCCAACGUCGAUCACAAGUGCCUCAUGGCAAAGGACGACAAAAAGAAGAAGGUAAAAUCUAGAGCUUCCACUAAAUAUGCAACAUCUAGUGAUGAGGCUAGCUCUAGUGAUGAUGAGGAUGAUUUGAUCACCCUUUUUGCCAACUUAAACAUUCAACAAAAAGACAAAUUGAAUGAAUCGAUUAGUGUUAUUCAUGAGAAGGAUGAACUCUUGGAUAGCCAAGAGGACUUCCUUAUUAAAGAAAAUAAGAAGCAUGUUAAAGUUAAAAAUGCUUAUGCUCAGGAGAUAGAAAAAUGUGAAAAAUUAACUAGUGAUCUAAGCACUUGCCAUGACACUAUUUUCAACCUUAGAUUUGAAAAUGACAAAUUGAUUGCUAAGGUUGAGAAAUUAAAUGUUAGUGAUGAUUCUCUUGUCAACCUUAGAAAUGAUAAUGCUAAUUUGAUUGCUAAGGUUGACAAAUUGAAUGCAUCUCUCUCUAGCCUUAAAAUUGAGAAUGAAAAAUUAAUUGCUAAGGCUAAAGAUUUAAAUGUUUGCAAUGUUUCUAUUUCCAAUCUUAGAGAUGAGAACACUAUUUUACAUGCUAAGAUUGUUGAAUUAAAUACUUGCAAACCCUCAACAUCUACCGUUGAACAUGUUACUAUUUGCACUAGAUGUAGAGAUGUUAAUAUUGAUGCUAUUCAUGAUCACAUUGCUAUGAUUAAACAACAAAAUGAUCAUAUAGCAAAAUUAGAUGCUAAAAUUGCCGAGCAUGAAUUAGAGAAUGAAAAAUUUAAAUUUGCUCGUAAUAUGCUUUAUGGUGGGAGACGCCCUGGCAUUAAGGAUGGCAUUGGCUUCCAACAGGGAGGCGAUGUCAAACUCAAUGCCCCUAAGAAAUUGUCCAACUUUGUUAAGGGCAAGGCUCCCAUGGUUUAGGAUAACGAGGGUUACAUUUUAUACCCUGACGGUUAUCCCGAACAUAAAAUUAGGAGAAUUCACUCUAGGAAGUCUCACUCUGGCUCUCAUCAUGCUUUUAUGAAUAAGAGUGAGGCAUCUAGUUCUAGGAAAUCCACCCAUGCUAAAUUGCCUAAGAAGAAAACUCCUAUAGCAUCAAACGAACCUAAUUUUUCAUUUAAGACUUUUGAUGCUUCUUAUGUGCUCACUAACAAAUCAGGCAAAAUAGUUGCCAAAUAUGUUGGGGCUAAACACAAGGGAUCAAAGACUUGUGUUUGGGUACCCAAGGUGCUUGUUUCUAAUGUGAAAGGACCCAAGACCAUUUGGGUACCUAAGAACAAGGCCUAAACUUGUUUUGUAGGUUUAUGCAUGCGGGGGCUCAAGUUUGAUCAUCGAUAGCGGGUGCACAAACCACAUGACUGGGGAGAAAAUAAUGUUCUCCUCCUAUGAGAAAAAUCAUGAUCCCCAAAGAGCUAUCACAUUCGGGGAUGGAAAUCAAGGUUUGGUCAAAGGACUUGGUAAAAUUGCUAUAUCCCCUGACCAUUCUAUUUCCAAUGUUUUUCUUGUAGAUUCUUUAGAUUACAACUUGCUUUCUGUUUCUCAAUUAUGCAAAAUGGGUUACAACUGUCUUUUUACGGAUAUAGGUGUUACUGUCUUUAGAAGAAGUGAUGAUUCUGUAGCAUUUAAGGGAGUGUUAGAGGGUUAGCUAUACUUAGUUGAUUUUAAUAGAGCUGAACUCGACACUUGCUUAAUUGCUAAGACUAACAUGGGUUGGCUCUGGCAUCGCCGACUUGCCCACGUUUAAAUGAAGAAUCUCCACAAACUUCUAAAGGGAGAACACAUUUUGGGACUAACAAAUGUUCAUUUUGAGAAAGACAGGGUUUGUAGCGCAUGUCAAGCAGGGGAAGCAAGUUGGUGUUCAUCAUCCACACAAGAACAUAAUGACGACCGACAGACCGCUUGAGCUACUCCACAUGGACCUAUUCGGCCCGAUAGCUUAUAUAAGCAUCAACGGGAGUAAGUAUUGUCUUGUAAUUGUGGAUGAUUAUUCUCGCUUCACUUGGGUGUUAUUUUUGCAGGAAAAAUCUCAAACCCAAGAGACCUUAAAGGGAUUCUUGAGAUGGGCUCAAAAUGAGUUCGGCUUAAGGAUCAAAAAGAUAAGAAGCGACAACGGGACGGAGUUCAAGAACUCUCAAAUAGAAGGCUUCCUUGAGGAUGAGGGCAUCAAGCAUGAGUUCUCUUCUCCCUACACACCACAACAAAAUGGUGUAGUGGAGAGGAAGAAUAGAACUCUACUUGACAUGGCGAGGACCAUGCUUGAUGAGUACAAGACUUCGGACCGGUUUUGGGCGGAAGCAGUCAACACCGCUUGCUACGCCAUCAACCGUCUCUACCUUUGCCGAAUACUCAAGAAGACAUCGUAUGAACUACUCACCGGUAAAAAGCCCAAUGUUUCAUAUUUUAGAGUCUUUGGUAGCAAAUGCUUUAUUCUUGUUAAAAGAGGUAGAAAAUCUAAAUUUGCUCCUAAGGCUGUAGAAGGCUUUUUACUUGGUUAUGAUUCAAACACAAGGGCAUAUAGAGUCUUUAACAAGUCCUCUGGACUAGUUGAGGUUACUUGUGACAUUGUGUUUGAUGAGACUAACGGCUCUCAAGUAGAGCAAGUUGAUCUUGAUGAGCUAGAUGAUGAAGAGGCUCCAUGCGUCGCGCUAAGGAACAUGUCCAUUGGGGAUGUGUGUCCUAAGGAAUCCGAAGAGCCUCCACAAGCACAAGAUCAACCAUCUUCCUCCAUGCAAGCAUCUCCACCAACUCAAGAUGAGGAUCAAGCUCAAGAGGAUGAAAAUGAAGAUCAAGAAGAUGAGCCACCUCAAGAGGAGGGCAAUGAUCAAGGGGGAGAUGCCAAUGAUCAAGACAAGGAAGAUGACGACAGUCCAAGACCACCACACCCAAGAGUCCACCAAGCAAUACAAAGAGAUCACCCCGUGAACUCCAUCCUCGGCGAUAUUCAUAAGGGGGUAACCACUCGAUCUCGUGUUGCUCAUUUUUGUGAACAUUACACCUUUGUAUCUUCUAUUGAGCCAUAUAGGGUGGAAGACACAUUAAGGGAUUCAGAUUGGGUGUUGGCGAUGCAAGAGGAACUCAACAACUUCACGAGGAAUGAGGUAUGACAUUUAGUUCCACGCCCUAAUCAAAAUGUUGUAGGAACCAAGUGGGUCUUCCGCAACAAGCAAGAUGAGCAUGGUGUGGUGACAAGGAACAAAGCCCGACUUGUGGCCAAGGGAUAAUCACAAGUCGAAGGUUUGGAUUUCGGUGAAACCUAUGCACCCGUAGCUAGGCUUGAGUCAAUUUGUAUAUUACUUGCCUAUGCUACUUACCAUGGCUUCAAGCUUUAUCAAAUGGACGUGAAAAGUGCCUUCCUCAAUGGACCAAUCAAGGAAGAAGUCUAUGUUGAGCAACCUCCCGACUUUGAAGAUAGUGAGUACCCUAACCAUGUGUAUAAACUCUCUAAGGCGCUUUAUGGGCUCAAGCAAGCCCCAAGAUCAUGGUAUGAAUGCCUAAGAGAUUUUCUUAUCGCUAAUGGCUUCAAAGUCGGAAAAGCCGAUCCUACUCUCUUUACUAAAACAAUUGCAAAUGAUUUGUUUGUAUGCCAAAUUUAUGUUGAUGAUAUUAUAUUUGGGUCUACUAACAAAUCUACAUUUGAAGAGUUUAGUAGAUAAUGGUACAAAAAUUCGAGAUGUCUAUGAUGGGGGAGUUGAAGUAUUUCUUAGGAUUUCAAGUGAAGCAACUCCAAGAGGGCAUCUUCAUCAGUCAAACGAAGUACAUUCAAGACAUACUCACCAAGUUUGGGAUGAAGGAUGCCAAGCCUAUCAAGACACCCAUGGGAACCAAUGGGCAUCUUGACCUCGACACGAGAGGUAAAUCCAUAGAUCAAAAGGUAUACCGGUCGAUGAUAGGAUCUUUACUCUAUUUAUGUGCAUCUCGACCGGAUAUUAUGCUUUUCAUAUGCAUGUGUGCAAGAUUCCAAGCCGAUCCUAAGGAAGUUCACCUUAGGGUCGUGAAAUGAAUCUUGAGAUAUUUAGUUCAUACUCCUAAGUUUGGCCUUUGGUACCCCAGGGGAUCCACAUUUGAUUUAAUAGGAUAUUUAGAUGCUGAUUGGGCAGGGUGUAAAAUUGAUAGAAAGAGCACAUCAGGGACUUGUUAGUUCUUGGGAAGAUCCCUGGUGUCAUAGGCUUCAAAGAAGCAAAAUUUUGUAUCUCUUUCUACCACCGAAGCCGAGUACAUUACCGCAGGCCAUUGUUGCGCGCAAUUGCUUUGGAUGAGGCAAACCCUUAGGGACUAUGGUUACAAAUUAACCAAAGUUCCGCUCCUAUGUGAUAAUGAGAGUGCAAUCCACAUGGUGGAUAAUCCCGUUGAGCACAACCGCACUAAGCACAUAGCCAUUCGGUAUCACUUUUUGAGGGAUCACCAACAAAAGGGGGAUAUCGAGAUUGUUUAUAUUAACACCAAAGAACAAUUAGCCGAUAUCUUUACCAAUGUUGGGGACUUGUUCUCAAAUGCUAUGAGUUAAGAACAAGGCAACACAAGAAAUGUUAAACGUUAAUGCCCUUCGUCCUUCGAGACAUUAUUUCCCUUAGGAUAUAAUGAUCUUCAGACGAAGGUCAUGAAGGACAUACCUUCAUCAUUGCAAUAUACGAUAAUAAAAGGAGAAUCAUAUAGAAUGUAAGAGACAACAUGAAUAAGUAUGUAAUAUUAUCAGCACAUUUCUAUUUUAUUAUCAUGGACAAAUAGAAAUGAUAUCAAAUUACAAAUGUACCUUCAGCUUGAUGGAAGGUAAAAGUACAAGUGUGACGCACGAUCAAAUACAAGUCAGCGUGAACAGUACGGGAGCACUGUUCAUCUAUUUAUAGGCACGGGACACAGCCCAUGUAAAAUUACACCCAUGCCUUUUACAUUUGCUAAUGACUCUAUAGUGAUCCAUCGAGGUCUAAAUGACCUUUUCCCUUUUAAGUCGGUUCCCUUUUCCGCUGUUAUGCCAAAGCUCCCUUGCGCGUAGCUUCGGCGCUACGUCAACCUUCGUAUUCUUUGUGCUUCUCACACUGUGGUUCUGAUCCGAGUCCGAAGGUACCUGUUCAUGUAUCAUACUCCAGAAAUAAUGUUAAAUCAUGUUUUUGAAGACCUUCGGAAGACGAAGGCCCCCAACAGUAGCCCCUCGCAAUAUUAAUUUGUUAGAAUAACGAAUUCAAAUUGCGAUAUGGACGAAGGCCUUAAGCCAAAAUUCUGAAAAAACACCUUCCCUUUGCUAGAAUAGCAACAGUCGAUGACAGACGGGGCCCUCCAAUUUGGAACGCACUGGGCGUAUAAAUAGGAACUCACCCCGAGCACAUUUGGUACGCUAUCUGCCGCCUGCUUUGCUUGCUCAAUUUUUUAGCUCUUGCCUACCAACGCUUGCUUGGUUUUUUAGACUUUCUAAGCUUCGGCUUUAAGGACACAUUUUCGCCAUUUCCGAAGAGAAGAUGUCUCAAGACAAAAAAGUUGUUGCUGAGACGAAGCUGAGCGAAGAGGAGAAGCUCCAUGAGGAGAAGACUGCUGGAUUUGUUGAAUCAAUAGCAAAGAAAAAUACAGAAAAGAUUACUAAGGAGAUUCUAGAAGGCUUAUCUGAAGAUACUGAUGACAGCGACAGUUAUGAUGCGGAAAGCGGAGGCGAAGACUCCGAAGAUCGGCCCUGGCGACCAAGCAUGCAGUCUUCGGGAAAUCAACCAUCAAACAGAGUCAUCUUGAUAAUAUGAGAGGAAGGUAUUUUCGAUAUUAUUUUUUUGUUCUUAUAUUAACCCAUUCAUUCUUUUCAUAUAGGGUUUAAUACUUAGCAACGCCUUAAGGGCGCAAAAGAAUGUCGAAGACGAGAGUUGCACUAUUGCUCUCAACAACCUUCAAACAGAGGUUAUCAAGCUGAGGAACGAAGCUUUGGAAAAAGAAAAAAUUCUACUUACAUUGGUGGACAAAGUAAAGGGGGAUGAAGCUAACUUCAAGGCUCAAUCUGAAAUCCAAAGGAAUGAGAUUGAAAACCUUCAAAAACAACUGGCCGAAGCCAAAUUGAAAUGCGCUAUUGCCGAAGCUGACCGAGUUGCCAGUGAGUACUAGAAAAAUUAUCUUGAAAAACAGUUGCAGAGCUUCGCUCAUCAAAAGAAAGAUGUUUUGAAAAAUCUGUGGAAUGCGUGAAAAAGAUAAAAACUAGCUUUGCCAACGUUGGCGCAUAUUCAAGCGAAGAUAACUUCAUACGGGGCGACCCCGAAGGCGUAAUCGAGUGGAUCAGCGGUGAGGCCGAAGCCUUUGAAGAGAUUUUGAGUGACCGCGGGGACGUCUGUGCCUUCUCUGGUGCGAGAGGAAUUGCAGCUAUUUUGGAGAAAGCAGGGUGCGAACAUGUUAAAACUUUGGCCCAGGCCGAAGCUGCCUUCUCCACCGAUGAUAUAAAGGACCCCUCGGCCGAAGCAAACUCAAUAGGUGGAAAAAAUUUCACUGAUAUCUGGGAAAACGGUGGCCGAGGGAUGGCCCAUGAAAUUAUAAAGAAAAACGAAAAAGAUAUUCACGACACUCGAGAGUCAAUAAAAGAAGCUGAAAAGGCUGCGGAGCUUGAGAGACGAAUAUGUAUUACUUAAUGGUUUUUAACUUUGUUGUUUAUUUUUGUGACUUUGAACUGAUUUAUGUUUUCUACCUUAGCUGAACUAUCUCCUCCCCCAGCGCCCUUAGAGUCAUUGGCCGACCCAGAGGCAAAGGAAUCAACAGAACUUAUUAACAUGGCCGAAACUAUUGUAGACGAAGUCGUUACCCAACUGCUGACCGAAUUUGCACAUAAAGUUUUGAAGGAAGAAGAGUAGCUAUUGUAAAAACAUUGCUAGAAUAUUAAUGUAACAUUUGCCGGACUAUGCUUGUAAUAUUUGGUGCUCCUAGGUUUUGAAUGUAAUAUAUGAAUGGUUUUGUAAUUCAUUUCUUUGCGAUGCAUGAAACUUUUAUGUACAUACCGUUUUUGAGCCUUCGGCGAAAAAACACCUUCCCUUCUUUUCAUGUUCGUAAAGAAGAGCUUUUAUGCUUCGUAAAAAAUCCUCCAAUCGUCGCAAAAACAUUAAUGCUUCGUCAACAACAGAUUUUUCCUCCACAUCAGAGCUGAUGAAGCUGUAUUUCUUCAAAACUUAUUUUGUGCCUUAGCACAAUUUCACUUUUUUCGAAGCAUUCUUCGAAGGUCAACAUUGUAUCCCCUUCUUGUGCCAUUGAUGCAAUAUGAUGUAUGAUGUUAUGUUAUGUGAAAUGAUGUGAUGAUGUUAUGUUAUGCAAAAUGAUGUUUAUGCCGAAGACACACACUCACACCCCCAUAGUGGAAUACACAAUCUCUUUGCCGCUUAUUUUUCGGCUUCACCGCUUAUUUUUCGGUGUAUCAGCGCUGACUUUUCACUGUAAGUUCUGCAUUCCCUUAGGAACGUCUUUUGAACUUCUUCACCUUCUAUUUCGGCGGUAUUCGCGUUGACUUUUCGCGCUUCGCCUUAUAUUUCGGCGGUAUUUGGCUCUGCAUUCCCUUUGGAAUGACUUUUGAGCAGAAAACUUACACUGCGCUCCCUUAGGAACGACUUUUUGUAGCUUCGGCAAACUUACGCUGCGUUCCUUAGAACGACUUUUUUGUGGCUUCGGUGAUACUUGUAAUGUGAUUUUUAGCCCCGCGUUCCCUUAGGAACGACUUUUGUGCUUCAGUGACUUUUUGAACUUCGUGAGUCUGUGGAGAAGAUAUAUUUCACUAUGGCAAGAACGAAGUUAUUACAAGAAAUCAAGAGAGCUAGGUUUUCAAUAAUUGUUCCUUAUUAAAAAGGAAGUGAUAAUGAAUGUAAAAACUGCUUCAGGGGUAGGAUAUCUCUCAAUAGAUAUGCUUCGAUUCUAGCACAGUACUGUUGGCUGUGCGAGCUUCGGACUCCUCCCUGAAAUCUCGUUGCUGAUGGGUCUGUUGGCUCCCUUCUGGCUGCUGGCCUCGUGAAUAUGCAGGUUGUAGUGGUGGCAGAGGUGGAGGCUGUGGCCAAGAUGCAUGUGGCUGGCUAGCCGAAGCAACAGAAGCUGCAGGAUGGUUACCCACAUACUCUGGUAUGUAGGGUGAGUGAUACGAAGCAGUGUGCAUGACCUGCUUCGGCUGGUUCUGCUGAGCUGCGGCUUCUGCUAAUUCCUUUUGUUUCUGAAUGGUGACAUGGCACAUCCUUGUAGUAUGGCCCUUGUCCUCACCACAGAAUAAGCAAUUUUCCUAGGUUGAUCCCCAAACCUUCCUCCGAAGCCCCUGGCACCUCUGCCUCUUGGAGUUGGCGGCCGAAAAUAGGUUUGUUGCUGCCCCGAAACUUGCGAGGAAUAUUGUGGCUUCUGUUGCUGACUUCCUCUGUCGUCAUUCUGGGUGGAGUGGAUUGAUCUGACAUGCCUUGGGUGGAUUCUUCCUCCGAAGCCCCUGGUCAUCUCAGAGAACCUGUAGGCUUCCUCCCUUCUUUGGCGAAAGUCAUUGUCAGCCCGGAUGUAUUCAUCCAUCUUUUGAAGCAGCUUCUCCAAAGUCUGUGGAGGCUUUCUAGCAAAAUACUGGGCAGUAGGUCCUGGAUGAAGCCCCUUGAUCAUGGCCUCAAUGACAAUUUCAUUGGGCACAGUAGGCACUUGUGCUCUCAGACGCAAGAACCUUCAGACGUAUGCCUGGAGAUACUCCUCAUGAUCUUGCGUGCAUUGAAACAGAGCCUGAGCUGUGACUGGCUUCGUCUGAAAGCCCUGGAAACUUGUCACCAGCAUGUCCUUGAGCUUCUGCCAUGAAGUGAUGGUCCCUGGCCGAAGAGAAGAAUACCACGUUUGAGCCACAUUCUUAACUGCCAUGACGAAGGACUUGGCCAUGACAGCUGCAUUGCCUCCGUAUGAAGAUAUAGUUGCUUCAUAACUCAUCAAAAACUGCUUCGGGUCUGAAUGCCCAUCAUACAUUGGAAGCUGAGGUGGCUUGUAUGAUGGGGGCCACGGGAUAGCCUGCAGUUCUGCUGCCAAGGGAGAAGCAUCAUCAAAAGUAAAGGUAUCAUGAUUAAAAUCAUCAUACCAUCCAUCGUCGUUGAACAAGCCCUCUUGAUGAAGCUCCCUGUGUUGGGGCCUUCGAUCUUGCUCGUCUUGAGCAAGGUGGCGUACUUCUUCAGUGGCUUCGUCAAUCUGCCUUUGAAGGUCAGCUUGUCGGGCCAUCUUCUCCUUCUUCUUUUGCACUUGCUGAUGAAGCAUCUCCAUGUUUCUGAUUUCUUGGUCCAACUCGUCCACCUGGGGUGUUGGACUAGUGGCCUUCCUCUUCUGGCUUCGGGCCUCUCGAAGAGAAAGGGUCUCCUGAUUUGGGUCCAGUGGCUGCAGAGCGGCAGCCCCUAGCGCUGAAACUUUCUUCGGUGGCAUGACGAAGGUCAAUGCUUGCCGAAGGUGGUCGAAAAGAGUUCACCCCACGGUGGGCGCCAAUGUUGGGGACUUGUUCUCAAAUGCUAUGAGUUAGGAACAAGGCAACAUAAGAAAUGUUAAACGUUAAUGCCCUUCGUCCUUCGAGACAUUAUUUCCCUUAGGAUAUAAUGAUCUUCAGACGAAGGUCAUGAAGGACAUACCUUCAUCAUUGCAAUAUACGAUAAUAAAAGGAGAAUCAUAUAGAAUGUAAGAGACAACAUGAAUAAGUAUGUAAUAUUAUCAGCACAUUUCUAUUUUAUUAUCAUGGACAAAUAGAAAUGAUAUCAAAUUACAAAUGUACCUUCAGCUUGAUGGAAGGUAAAAGUACAAGUGUGACACACGAUCAAAUACAAGUCAGCGUGAACAGUACGGGAGCACUGUUCAUCUAUUUAUAGGCACGGGACACAGCCCAUGUAAAAUUACACCCAUGCCCUUUACAUUUGCUAAUGACUCUAUAGUGAUCCAUCGAGGUCUAAAUGGCCUUUUCCCUUUUAAGUCAGUUCCCUUUUCCGCUGUUAUGCCGAAGCUCCCUUGUGCGUAGCUUCAGCGCUACGUCAACCUUCGUAUUCUUUGUGCUUCUCACACUGUGGUUCUGAUCCGAGUCCGAAGGUACCUGUUCAUGUAUCAUACUCCAGAAACAUUGUUAAAUCAUGUUUUUGAGGACCUUCGGAAGACGAAGGCCCCCGACAACCAAGCCACUAGAUGAGAAAACUUUUACCAAUCUUAGGCAUGAGCUAAACAUUCUAGAUUCUAGGAAUUUUGAUUGAUAUUUUGCACACAUAGCUUAUUUCAAUACCUUUGAUCAUAUCUCUUUCAUGUGCUAUGACUAAUGUGGUUUUCAAGUAUAUUUCAUGCUAAGUCAUAGAUUGAAAGGAAAAUGGAGUCUUCGGCGAAGAAAAGGCUUCCACUCCAUCGAAUUAUUCAUCCUUCGCCGACACUCCACAUCGCUCUCCAAUUUGGUAUAAUCUUCACUCCUACAUUAUUUACCAAAGGGGGAGAAAGUUUGAAAAAGGGCUUAUAUUUUCACUCACAAGUAUCCGUUUUUGGCGAUUCAUGCCAAAGGGGGAGAAAGUAUUAGCCCAAAGCAAAAGGACCGCACCACCACCAAUUUCAAAAAUGAAGUCUUUUAAAUUUGUACUAAAAGAAGGUUUUUCAAUUGGUAUCUUAUUUUUGAUAGAAUUUUCAAAUUGGUAUAACCCAUUUCAAAAUUAAUAUCUAAAACUCUCUUGAACAAUAAGAGGAGAAUUUCAUUAAGGGGGAGUUUUGUUUAGUCAAAGGAAAAGCAUUUGAAACAGGGGGAGAAAAUUUCAAAUCUUAAAAAUGCUUCUCAAAAUCUUACUCAUUUACCUUUGACUACUUGCAAAAAGACUUUGAAAAGAAUUUCCAAAAGAGUUUGCAAAAACAAAACAAGUGCUGCAAGCGUGGUCCAAAAUGUUAAAAUAGAAGAAAGCAUCCAUGCAUAUCUUAUAAAAUGUAUAUUGGUUUAAUUCCAAGUAACCUUUGCACUUUCAUUAUGCAAACUAGUUCAAUUCUGCAAUUAUAUAUUUGCUUUGGUUUGUGUUGGCAUCAAUCAUCAAAAAGGGGGAGAUUGAAAGGGAAAUAGGCUUACACCUUUUCCUAAAUGGUUUUGGUGGUUGAAUUGCCCAACGCAAAUAAUUGGACUAACUAGUUUGCUCUAGAUUAUAAGUUCUACAUGUGCCAGAGGUUCAACACAAACCAAUAAAAAGUCCAAGAAAGGGUUCAAAUAAAAAGAGCAAAAGACAACCGAAUGCUGCCCUGGUCUGGCGCACCGGACAGUGUCCGGUGCACCAGGGAGAUUCACUCCAAACUUGCCACCUUUGGGAAUUUGGGAAGCCACUCCGCUAUAAUUCACCGGACUGUCCGGUGUAGCACCGGACUGUCCAGUGUGCCAAGCGGAGCAACGGUCGUUAGCGCAACGGUCGAGUUGAACGGUCGGCUCACAACGCUACAGUGCGCGUACUGCGCGCGCAGAAGUUAGAGCAGGUGCAGAUGGCGCAUCGGACAGUGAACAGGACCUGUCCGGUGCACCACCGGACUAUCCGGUGGCCCACAUGUCAGAAGCUCCAACGGUCGAACCCUAACGGUUGGGUGACGUGGCUGGCGCACCGGACAGUGGCCGGUGGCGCACCGGACUGUCCGGUGCGCCCAUCGACAGUAGAGUUCCCCAACGGCCACUUUGGUGGUUGGGGCUAUAAAUACCCCCCAACCACCACACUUCAAUGCAUCCAAGUUUUCAGCCAUCAAACCUCAUACAAGAGCUCUAUACUUCAUUCCAAGACACAAACAAAGAGAUCAAAUCCUCUCCCAAGUCCGGAAUCACUUCAAACAAAUUAGUGACUAGAGAGAGAGACUUUUGUGUUCUUUUGAGCUCUUGCGCUUGGAUCGCUUUUCUUCUUCCUCCUUUCUUGUUCUCAACUCAAUUGUAAUCAAAGCAAGAGACACCAAGUUGUGGUGGUCCUUGUAGUGGACUAAGUGUCCUGUUUGAUUGAAGAGAAAAGCUCACUCAGUCUAGGUGACCGUUUGAGAGAGGGAAAGGGUUGAAAGAGACCCGGUCUUUGUGACCACCUCAACGGGGAGUAGGUUUGCAAGAACCGAACCUCGGUAAAACAAAUCAUCGUGUUCAUUCGUUUUAUUUCUUUGUUGAUUUGUUUUCCCUCUCUUUCGGACUCGAUUAUAUUUUUAACGCUAACCCCGACUUGUUGUUGUGCUUAAACUUUAUAAAUUUCAGAUUUGCCUAUUCACCCCCCCUUUAGGUGACUUUUAGUCUCAACACCUCCUCUCUCGUACGAUGCGCUUUACCAUGGAAGAUCCACCGAGUAUAGUCUGGCGUAAAUCUGAUCUUCCAAAUAUGUUCUACCAUGGCCUUCUUUGAUUUUCUUUUCCGGUUGGCACAUUUGCUGCACGGGCAUGGGACUAGACUCGCUCCUUUAGCAGCUUUGCCAUAUGCCCGUUCCACAAAAGCAUCGGUCUUUCUAAUCCAUUCAGGGGUGACAUCAUUCCUACUUACACGGCAUGUGUACAUCCACUCACGGUCUUCCAUCCUCUAACAUAUGUAACCGAGUAUAGUUUAAUAUAAACAUGUAAUGCAUGUACGCUAUGUUCCUACCUUAUAAUAGGUGAGUAUAGUUCUUAAUCUCACUCGCGGUUGCGUAGACGAAGUUAGUUUCCAUGCUCUACUUCGAUCCAAGACAGAGUUCCGGCAGCACCUCCCCGUUGUUCUCCGGAUACACGCCCUAGCAGGUAGAAUGUACUGUCCGGAGAUCAACAUGGAGGUGAAACCGAAACUCUGUCUCGGACCGGAGUAGAGCAUGGAAACUAAUACCAGGGCGACGGUGGAGUAGGGAUAGCGGGGCUGUGGCGGGUCGGUGCAGUGGCGACGUGUCGCAGUGCAGGUUCUAGUGUGGCGGCAAGGAAUACCUCUGCAAAAAAAAAUUAACACAAGUUUAUCAACAAAAAAAUCGGCAGGACUUCCCCUGCACGAGGAGGUUGCAAAAAACCAGCAAAUAAAACUAACAGCACGAUGGCUGACAUCCACACAUAUACUAGCAAAAAAUAGACUUGCGUGUGUUAUUUACAAUUGUGUUAGUUACACACAAUCUAUUGAUGCCAUAUUUGUUGUGUACUAGCGAUUGGCAAGAAGAAUCAACUUUUAGGCACUAAAACAUCUAGUGGGUUCAAAUUAAAGAACUUCUUCUAUUAAUUACAGAACCACCCCAUCGGCCGACCAGGAUCCAAAUUAAAGAACUUCUUCUUCUAUUAAUUAUAGUAUAUUAUAAUUACCAAGUCUCUUCUUAUAUUUACAUGUUCAUUUGCUUGCUUCUUGCAUAACAUAACGGCGAUCGAUGAUGACCAUCGUUAGUUUUAGUCCUACGUGUAUUUGAUUCAAUCCCUCCAUGUUCAUAGUAUAAAUUCAACCAAACCUAAAUAAGUUUCAGUCAGCUUGAUCUUAAAAUUGCAUCAUACACACACAUACAUAGUCUUACUAGAAGUAAGCAAUUUCUUUUAAACUAAUUUCCAGCCAACAUUGAUGAAUGAACUAGAAUGUGGCUAUAACCGAGACCUGUGUGGGUGGUGCUGGAGAUGGGGACGUUGGGCCGAGGCUCACCGGCGUCGAGGCCUGUCCGAAGAUGGCCGACCGCCAGGCCGGGGACGGGGCUCGUUGGAGAUGGCCGGGUCGAGCGACGGUGGGGACGUCGGAGGCAGGGAGGAUGGCCGGCACGGUGUCCGGAGCCGGAGGGGAUGACCGGAGAGGAGGAUGGUCGGCGCUUGCUCCGAUGGCGUUGGCGGCGAGUGGCGUUGGCGGAGGGGACGACUGGUUAGGGCUAUGUACACAGACUUUGCCGAGUGCCAUAUCACGGGCACUCGGCAAAGAUUUUUUUUAAAUUUAAAAAUAAACUUUGCCGAGUGUCACAGAUCACUGACAGGCACUUGGCAAAGAUUGUUUUAAUUUUUUUAAAAAAACUUUACAGAGUGUCCCACGGCAGGCACUCGACAAAGAAUGCUUUACUGACUGCCUUAUUUUGACACUCGACAAAGAAUUCUUUGCCAAGUGCCCGAUAAAAAGCACUUGGCAAAGCACCGAGCACUCGGCAAAGAGCCGGAUUCCGGUGUGGUUGUUUCAUGGAAGUUGUAAGUAGACCAUCUUAACAAGGUCAACAAUAGAAGUACAACUCACAACAUUAGAUACUGCCAAAGUUAAUGUUGAGAGGCUUCGUGAACUCCUUAUGGAUUUACUAGUAGUUGAAAAACCAAUACUGGUUAUCUAUAUGAGCUAUAAUAAUUAAACAUUGGUAAUCAAAGUGAACAAUUCUUAGGUUAACAUGAAGACUACAAAGCAUGUCAAGAACGGUUGAAACUGUUAAAACACUAAGAAACUCUAGAUUAAUUGUGUUGGACUAUGUCCAUACUUCUAAGAAUUUGGUAUGCCAGUUUAUAGAAGAUUUGUCACAUAAUGUGAUAGAUGGUGCAUCGAGAAAGAUGGACUUGAGACCCACUUAAUGCCAUUCCAUAGUAGUAGCAUUUUCUAUGUGAUUGGAGAUCUCAUGAAGUAAAAUGGUGAAAUAAGCUAGAGAAUGACUGAUGGAGAGACUCCUUAAAUAAAAUCUAGGUAAUUUCAUAUGAACAUUUCUCCUUCGAUGUACGAUAGGCUAACUAAAAUCUUAAUAUGAUUUGAGUGACAUAUCUAAGCAGGGAUGUUAUCUUAUAGAACAUCCUAUAAGGAACACACCUAUAUGACUUUGACUACUAAUCACAGUCUAUGAUAUGUGGGAAAUAUUUUUUUACUCAUGAAAGGCCUCGAAGUUUGACUUAUAUGCUUCAAACCAAUGGAUAACUGAUUGAAUCUGUUUCAGACAGCAGCAUAGUUAACUUCAAAAUUCUAUAUCUCCCAAACUUCUCAACCAAAAAUUAUUAAAUUAUGCUGACAGUAAGAACUUUUAUCCCUCUACAAAAGUCUCCAUAGUUGGAAGAGCCAAUUCGGCCAUUUACUAGAUGAAACCUACCAGUUAACAGACCCGCUCAUUUUUGUCAGGCAAACAAGAACCCUUAUAUAUCAAAGAGUAGUGGAUUUGAAUUUGUCUAAUAUGAAGUUUAUGGGCUUGGAUCAUUUAAAGUAUUUUAUAAUUCUGAAAGACAAGAUUAAACUAACUAUGUAUGAUCCUUUAGCACCGUACAGAUGGUCGAUGGGACAGUUACAUGGUUUAUAUAGAUGGACCUAUCUAUAUUCCUUCAGUGGUUGAGAACAAGGUAAAGGUGUGUCACACUCACGCGUGCGCCGCCUCCGCCGAGACGAGGCAUGGCGUUGCAGGGUGAGGCAUGGCAUGGUGCAGCACGAUCGCAGUCAUGGUCGUGGCACAGUGUAGCACUGUUGUGGAUAGAUAGAUAAACUAUUGUUGUAGUUAGAGUGCAUGAGUUUUUGAAUGCAACACUAGAAUUUUCACAAUUUAACUUAAUUAAGAAGUUAUAUCUUGAUGACACAGAGUUACCUGACCAUUGAUCUCACAUGCCCUUUUAGCUCUCUCGUACUCUAGACUUACCCUGACUAUUUAGGUCUCCUGACUCGCCAAUAUAAACACCAUCCUAUCAUUUGCUGUCGAAUACUUCUGUGUCACAACUCAACUGUCAGAUGAGUACUCCAUUACAGCACUGAGCAGGCCUCCGAAAUGAAUAUCUACUCAGAUGAAGGACGACAAUCGUGUUCUAGGGAAAUAUCAGCGACACAACUCCUUACUUCCUCCGCUUCUUCCUAGUGUUUUUUGUUGUGAUUGAGUCGACAUAGCAACAACACUGCACUAUUACAACCAGUACGACUAUAUCAACUAGCAAUGUCUUCCUUAUAUGUUACUAUUUAUUUUGCUCAUAUUCAUUAUGUUUAAAUCACAUAGGCGCCUUUAUGUUGGCAUCAAAAAAUCAGUAUCAACUUUAUAGAUUAAAAUGAAACUAAAAGUACCUAAAUUUCUAUCGGUGGGGAUCGAGUGAUUCUUUAAACCGAUUAUUACACAAGUUAACCACACUAAAAUUAACAAUGGUGAAUCGUGCCAUGAUUUUUUUCUAGUGGAAAAUAGCCAAACCAAGCAACACAUAUGUGGCUAUCGUUACACAUGUGUAAAGGUAUUGCAUCACACCAUUGUCACCCAUGUAUGUGGACAAUACCGAGAGGAAAAACCACUUAUUUAUUGUAUUUUAUCAAGUUUGUCUUGCUUACGUAUAAAUUAUAACCCAACAAAGUAAUCACUAAAUGUCAAAACCAACUAGAUACCAUGUCAUCUCUACCUUAUCUUACUAAUAUUCUUUUUGCAAAAUCCAAAAUUAAUCUUGCACAAGCACAAGGACUGAGAUGUGUAUAAAUAUCUCUUAAAUUAGUAGCUAAUAUAUCGCACAUAUUAUUGAGACCAACUAGCAACAUAGAAAGCACAAUAGUGUACCAACAAUGGCAGCCAAAAUAUUUUGCCUCCUUAUGCUCCUUGGUCUUUCUGCAAGUGCUGCUACGGCGACCAUUUUCCCGCAAUGCUCGCAAGCUCCUAUAGCUUCCCUUCUUCCCCCGUACCUCUCACCAGCGGUGUCUUCGGUAUGUGAAAACCCAAUUCUUCAACCCUACAGGAUCCAACAGGCAAUCGCAGCUGGCAUCUUACCUUUAUCACCCUUGUUCCUCCAACAAUCAUCAGCCCUAUUACAACAGUUACCUUUGGUGCAUUUAUUGGCACAAAACAUCAGGGCACAACAACUACAACAACUUGUGCUAGCAAACCUUGCUGCCUACUCUCAGCAACAGCAGUUUCUUCCAUUCAACCAACUAGGUUCAUUGAACUCUGCUUCUUAUUUGCAACAACAACAACUACCAUUCAGCCAGCUACCUGCUGCCUACCCCCAGCAAUUUCUUCCAUUCAACCAACUAGCAGCAUUGAACUCUCCUGCUUAUUUACAGCAGCAACAACUACUACCAUUCAGCCAGCUAGCUGGUGUGAGCCCUGCUACCUUCUUGACACAACCACAGUUGUUGCCGUUCUACCAGCACGUUGCGCCUAACGCUGGCACCCUCUUACAACUGCAACAAUUGCUGCCAUUCAACCAACUUGCUUUGACAAACCCAGCAGUGUUCUACCAACAACCCAUCAUUGGUGGUGCCCUCUUUUAGAUUUCUUAUGAGUUAUAGUUCAAUAAUAAAGUUUUUUAUCUGAUGUUUGUGGCUUCCCAGAAAUAAGAAAGUACAUUUCUAGAUUCUUAUGUGCUUCUAGUCUUCAAAUGUGGUUGAUAGUUAUUGUUGGGGACUUGUUCUCAAAUGCUAAGAGUUAAGAACAAGGCAACAUAAAAAUGUUAAAUGCUAAAGUCCUUCGUCCUUCGAAGCAUUAUUUCCCUUAGGAUAUAAUGAAUUUCGGACGAAGGCUAUGAAGGACAUACCUUCAUAAGCACAACGAAUGAUGAAGAAGAAUUCAUAUAAAUUAUGAGAUAUAACAUAAACAUUUAAACAUUAUUAUUAACUCAUUUCUAUUGACUUGUCAGGGAAAAAUAGAAAUGAUAAUAAAUUACAAAUAUACCUUCGGCUUGAGAGAAGGUAAAGGUACAAGCGUGAGGCAAAAGCAAAUGCCAAGUCAGCGUGAACAGUACGGGAACACUGUUCAUCUAUUUAUAGGCACGGGACGCAGCCCAUGCAAAAUUACAUCCAGGCCCUUUGCUUUUGACAAUAACUCUAUAGUAAUCUAUCUGGGUCUAGAUAGUCUUUUCCUCUUUAAGUCGGUUUCCUCUUUUCUGCCAUCAUACCGAAGCUCCCUUGCGCACAGCUUCGGCUCUGCUCCAUCCUUCGUAUUGUUUCCGUGCUUCUUCAUACCGUGGGCUCUUGUUCGAAGAUCCCUAUCCACACAUUAUACUCCAGAGGCAUUGUUAAAUCAUGUUUUUGAGGACCUUCGGAAGUCGAAGGCCCCCAACAGUAGCCCCUCGCAAUAUUAAUUUAUUAGAAUGAUAAAUUUAGAUCGCGACAUGGACGAAGGCCUUAAGCCGAAGGUCCGAAAAAACACCUUCCCUUUGCUAGAAUAGCAACAAUCAAUGACAAGCGGGGCCCUUUCCCUUGCAACACACUAGGCGUAUAAAUAAGAGCAUACCGCGAGCGGAUUUGGCACGCUUUUUGCCAUCUGCUCUUGCUCACCCAACUUUUAGCCCUUGCACACCAACACCUGCUUGGCCUUUUUUUAAAAAAAUUUAAGCUUCGGUUUCGAGAGCACUUUCUCAGCAUUUUCGAAGAUGUCUGAAGAUAAGAAAGUUGUCGCUGAGUCGAAGCUGAGACUUUCUGAGGAGAUGAAUCUCGGCUUUCUUGAAUCAAUAGCGAAGACAAAUACAGAGAAGAUUACUAGGGAGAUUUUAGAAGGUUUAUCUGAAGACACUGGUGACAGUGACAGUUAUGAUGUGGAAAGUGGUGGUGAAGAUUCCGAAGAUCGACCCUGGUGACCAAGCCAUGCAGUUUUUGGAAAAUCAAGCAUUAAACUAAGCCAUCUUGUUAAUAUGAGGGGCAGAUAUUUUCGGGAUUUAUCUAUUGUGAGGGCUGAUGAAGGAGAAAAAACUUGUCCUACUCCUGAGGAAAAUGAAGUCGUGAUAUUCCGAAGCUUCUUCAAGGCUGGGCUUCGGUUUCCUUUAAGCGGUUUCGUGGUUGAAGUUUUGAAGAUUUUUGAAAUCUACCUCCAUCAAAUUACUCCUGAAGCAAUCAUAAGGAUGGGAAUCUUCGUAUGGGCUGUGAAGAGCCAAGGUUUGGAGCCGAAUGCAAAAAGUUUCUGCAAUAUGCAUGAGCUAUUAUACGAGACGAAACCUUGGGGUAAAGAGAAAUAUCAUAACAAUUUUGGCUGCUACAGCUUCGGCGCCCGCUCUGGGUCAAGCUGUCCCGUGCCAACUUUUUGGAAGAGAUGGCCCGGGGACUCGAUGAAGGAAUGGUGUUAUGUAAAAAACGACUUGAAAACGCGAGAAGGUAUUAAAGAUAUCAUCAUGCGCCCCAUCUGGCAGCGUUUCGGCCUUCGGAAACCGAAGGUGGAUAUUGACGAAGCAACCGAAGAAUGCCAGAGGGCCUUCGGCGUAGUUUGCUCUUUCAUCGGGACAAGGGAUUUGAUCCAGGAACAUAUUUCCUUCAGAGUAUGGCCACUUGUAGAAAAGUGGGAAAUGCCGAAGGAAACCAUCAGCAAACCUGAUGAAGUGGACUAGUUAGGUUAAAAUAUACCUUCAGAUAUGGAGAUAAGUUUGUGGAGCCAGAUGAUGACUGGCUGAAAUGUAUUGAGGCCACAAGCGAUGAACUGCUUGGGCCAUAUUCGAAGACAGAAGAUACUGCACUGUCCGCGGCCUUCGGAGGUCGGAAGAAGAGACUCAACCGAGUGUUUGAUGCCAUUGGGUUCGUCUAUCCUGACUACCGUUACCCAACACAGGGUCAGAAAGGGAAAGAUACGACUUCUGUGAAGAAAGUUGCUUCAGCCGCUCCUAGUGAGCCGGCGCCGAAGAGGAAAAAGAUGAAGGUUCUUACGCACCGGCCACGCUAUAUUGAACCGGCCACAGUGCCUGAGUUUGUCGGUGAGACCUCUUCGGCCACCGAAGCCAAGGAGCCGACUCUCCUGCCGAAUAUUGAAGAGCCGGCCAAAAUGCCGGCAAUGGAAAAAAUAGAAGAACCGAGGGCUGAAGAGACAAAGACAUCGGAAAAGAAUGGUUAACGUGCUAAUGCCGAAUAUUGAAGUCCUUCAGCAAGAAUCGAGGUGCUAAUGCCAAUGCCGAUGGCACAAAAAGACCUUACGACAACCCCCAAGAGGAAAAGAAUGGUUAACGUGCUAGAUGUACUGGAAACGAUAAAAUCUUCAAGCUCUACUCCGAAGAUAGCUACUGAAGUUCCAAAGACACAAACUGAGGCCAAAGCUGCCAAAAGUCAAGCGGAAACUGAAACUGGGCUUUCAGAGCCUACCAAGAGGGAAUUCUUGGAAAUUGAAAAAGAAACGGAAAAAGAAUCUGCAGAAGAAACUUUUUCUGAGAAAAUCGUCACACAUAUUCCCGAAGCAUCUUCUGAAGCUUCUGACUAUGUAUUACGUCAUGCUUCGGGUAAAAAUCUGAGCGAAAAAGAAAAAAGAGAAGCUCAAUUCUAUGCGCAAAAAUUGAAAUAUCCAAAAGGGGCGCUGAUAUUCAACGGCAGCGGAGAAGAAGACUUCUUGUAUUGUCUCCCUCAUAGCAAGGAGAUUUCUGUCUGUCGGGAGAUGAGCAAAAGCUUCGGAUUCCCAACAUUAGAAGACGGGCUCUUGGUGUUGUCAAAGGACGAGCUAGCCGACAGCUUAGCGUAUAAUAGUUUAAAGGUGAAGAAAAUGAGAUCUUUGUAUUAUUUCUUGAAACCAAAAUUUUUCAUUUGCUUAAACUUAUUAACGCAUUUUUUUACAGGGUCUUAUACUUAGCAAUGCCCUCAGGGCACAAAAGAAUGACGAAGACGAAGGGUGCGCCAUAGCCCUGAGCAACCUUCGUUCCGAAGUAAUUGAUCUAAGGAACGAAGGUCUCGAAAAAGAUAAAAUAUUACAUUCGUUGGUGAAUAAAAUAAAAGAAGAUGAAGCUACUUUCAAAGCUCAAGCUGAGGCUCAGAAGCACGAAAUUGAGAAUCUUCGGAAACAACUAGCCAGAGCUACAGAAGAAUACACAAUUGAAGAAACAAAACGAGAAAUUAGUGAACAAUGGGCAAAUCAUUUAGAAAAAAACGUUGAAGAGCUUCGUGCGUCCAAGAAAAGGUGUUAUGAAAAAUCUAUAGAAUGUGUUAAGAAAAUAAGAACCAGCUUCACCAACGUUGGCGCGUUUUCAAGUGAAGAAAAUUUCAUGAGGGGUGACCCCGAAAGCCCAAUUGGAUGGAUCAGCCACGAAGCUGAAGCUUUUGAAUAGCCGUGGAGACAUAUGUGCCUUCUCGGGUGCCAGGGGGAUUGCCGCUGUUUUGGAGAAGAAAGGUUGCGAUCACGUGAAAUCCCUGGCACAGACCGAAGCCGUUUUAUCCUCUGAAGACAUAAAAGACCCUUCGGCCGAGGCGAGUUUGGUUGGUGGGAAAUUUUUCACCGACAUCUGGGAAAACGGUGGCCGGGAGAUGGCUCAAGAAAUUAUACGGAGAAGCGAGAAUGGUAUACAUGACGCUAGAAAAGUAGCAGAGGCCGCUGAGAAAAGUGUGGAUCUCGAAGGGCGAAUAGGUAUUAACUAGUAAUUUUUGGCUUUUUGUUGUAACCUUUUGAUUUUGAACUUGUUUACACUUUGUAACAUGGUCGCACCUUCUCCUCCCUCAGAGCCUGCCGAGCCAUCGACAGACCCCCACGUAAAGGGGGAUGACGAGAUUAGAAGAAUGGCUGAAGCUAUCAUGGACAAAGUUGUUGAUCAAUUACUAAACGAAGCUGCAGAAAUAGUUCUAAGGGAAGAUUAGAUGUUAUUGUAAAAACAUUUGGAAUGUAAUAUUUGUUGAACAAUAUGUGUAAUAUUUUGUAACUUUGAAUGUAAUAUAUAAUCUAUUUGUGGUUCAAUUCUUUACGAUGCAUGAAACUUUACAUACAUACCGUUUUUGAGCCUUCGGCGAAAAAACACCUUCCCUUCUUUUCAUGCUUCGUAAAUAAUAUCCGUAUAUCAUAAAAACAUCCAAUUUUCGUAAAAUCAGUAACCAAUAGAUCUUUUUAUUUCAUAAAAACAUCCAAUCUUCGUAAAAUCAGUAACCAAUCUUCGUAAAGGCAUGCUUCUUCAAUAAUUAUUUUUGUGCCUUGGCACUGUUUCUUCGAAACAAUCUCCGAAUAUCAACAUUGAAACCCCCUUCUUGCGUCAUUGAUGCAAUAUGAUGUAUGAUGUUAUGCUAUGCAAAUGAUGUGAUGAUGUGAUGUUAUGCAAAAUGAUAUUUGCCGAAGAUCAACGUUUAUUUUUCACUGCAAGCCUCCCUUAGGAGCUUCUUCGCCUUUUACUUCAGCGGAAUCAGCAUUUAUUUUUCGCUGUAAGCCUCCCUUAGGAGCUUCUUCGCCUUUUACUUUCAGCGGAAUCAGCGUUUAUUUUUUGCUGUAAGCCUCCCUUAGGAGCUUCUUCGCCUUUUACUUUCAGCGGAAUCAGCGUUUAUUUUUCGCUGUAAGCUCUGCAUUCCCUUCGGAACGACUUUUGAGCAGAAAACUUACGCUGCGCUCCCUUAGGAACGACUUUUUGUUAUUUCGGAGAUUCUCCUUGUAACCAUAAAUUCUUAUGCUUCGGCAACUCUGUUAUUUUGUGGAGAAGGUAUAUUUUUACUGUGGCGAAAACGAAGCUAUUACAAGAAAUUGAAAACGACAAAAAGCACUUAGGCUUUCAAUAAUUGUUCCUUAUUAAAAAGAAAAUGAUACUGAAUGUAAAAACUACUGCCGAGGUAGGAUAUUUGUUAGUAAAUAUGCUUCGAUUCUGGCACAGUACUAUUGACUGUGCGAGCUUCGGACUCUUCUCUAAAGUCCCGUUGAAGGUGGAUAUGCUGACUCCCUUCUGGCUGCUGGCUUUGUUGCAUUGGUGGUGGAGGUGGAGGCUGCUGCCAAGAUGCCUGAGGUUGGCUUGCCGAAGCAACAGAAGCUGCAGGGUGGUUGCCUACAUACUCUGGAAUGUAAGGCGAAUGGUAUGAAGCAGUGUGCAUAACUUGCUUCGGCUGGCUCUGUUGGGCUGCAGCUUCUGCUAUCUCCUUUUGUUUCUGGAUGGUAACAUGGCACAUCCUGGUGGUAUGGCCCUUGUCCUCUCCACAGAAUAGGCAAUAGAUCUUCCUGGGCUGAUCCCCAAAUCUUCCUCCGAAGCCCCUGGCACCUCUACCCCUUGGAGCUGGAGGCCGAGGAUAGCUCUGCUGCUGCCCCGAAGCCUGGGAGGAAUAUUGCGGCCUCUGCUGCUGGCUUCCCCUGUCAUCAUUCUGAGUGUUAUGAAUCGAUCUGACAUGUCUAGGGUGAACUCUCCCUCCGAAGCCACUGGCUAUUUUGGAGAACCUGUAAGCUUCCUCCCUUCUCUAUCGGAAGUCGUUGUCAGCGCGGAUGUAUUCGUCCAUCUUCUGAAGCAGUUUCUCCAGAGUCUGAGGGGGCUUCCUGGCAAAGUACUGGGCUGAAGGUCCUGGCCGAAGCCCCUUAAUCAUGGCCUCAAUGACAAUUUCAUUGGGCACUGUUGGUGCUUGUGCCCUCAGGCGUAAGAACCUUCGGACAUACGCCUGAAGAUAUUCUCCGUGGUCUUGGGUGCACUGGAAUAAGUCUUGAGCGGUGACCGGCUUCGUUUGAAACCCUUAGAAACUGGUGAUCAGCAUAUCCUUCAGCUUCUGCCAUGAUGUGAUUGUUCCUGGCCGAAGGGAGGAGUACCAGGUUUGUGCAACAUUCUUGACGGCCAUGACGAAAGACUUCGCCAUGACUGCAAUAUUGCCACCAUAGGAAGAUAUCGUUGCUUCGUAGCUCAUCAGAAACUGCUUCAGAUCUGAGUGUCCGUUGUACAUGGGGAGUUGAGGUGGCUUGUAAGACGGAGGCCAAGGUGUAGCCUGCAGUUCUGGUGAUAGAGGAGAAGCAUCGUCAAAAGCAAAAUUUCCAUGAUGGAAAUCCUCAUACCAGUCAUCCUCGUUGACGAAGCCCUCUUGGUGGAGCUCUCUGUACUGGGGCCUCCGGUUCUAUUCAUCUUGCGUAAGAUGACGAACCUCUUUAGAGGCUUUGUCUAUCUGCCUUUGUAGGUCAGCUAGCCGGGCCAUCUUUUCUUUCUUCUUUUGCACUUGUUGAUGCAGCAUUUCCAUGUUCCUGAUUUCUUGGUCCAAAUCGUCCUCCUGAGGCGUUGGACUGGUGGCCUUCCUCUUCUGGCUUCGGGCUUCCCGAAGAGAGAGAGUCUCCUGGUUCGUGUCCAGCGGCUGCAGAGCCGCAGCCCCUGUUGCUGAAGCUUUCUUUGGCGGCAUGACAAAGGUCGAUGCUUGCCGAAGGUGUUCGAAACUCAAAAAGUGGAAGUGAGUUCACCGGAGGUGGGCACUAAUGUUGGGGACUUGUUCUCAAAUGCUAAGAGUUAAGAACAAGGAAACAUAAAAAUGUUAAAUGCUAAAGUCCUUAGUCCUUCGAAGCAUUAUUUCCCUUAGGAUAUAAUGAAUUUCGGACGAAGGUUAUGAAGGACAUACCUUCAUAAGCACAACGAAUGAUGAAGAAGAAUUCAUAUAAAUUAUGAGAUAUAACAUAAACAUUUAAACAUUAUUAUUAACUCAUUUCUAUUGACUUGUCAGGGAAAAAUAGAAAUGAUAAUAAAUUACAAAUAUACCUUCGGCUUGAGAGAAGGUAAAGGUACAAGCGUGAGGCAAAAGCAAAUGCCAAGUCAGCGUGAAUAGUACGGGAACACUGUUCAUCUAUUUAUAGGCACGGGACGCAGCCCAUGCAAAAUUACAUCCAGGCCCUUUGCUUUUGACAAUAACUCUAUAGUAAUCUAUCUGGGUCUAGAUAGUCUUUUCCUCUUUAAGUCGGUUUCCUCUUUUCUGCCAUCAUGCCGAAGCUCCCUUGCGCACAACUUCUGCUCUGCUCCAUCCUUCGUAUUGUUUCCGUGCUUCUUCAUACCAUGGGCUCUUGUUCGAAGAUCCCUGUCCACACAUUAUACUCCAGAGGCAUUGCUAAAUCAUGUUUUUGAGGACCUUCGGAAGCCGAAGGCCCCCAACAGUUAUUUUGCUCUAAGAUCGGCAGUAAUGAAGUAUAAAUCAUCGUUGUGGUGUGCUACUCGGUUAAUUGAGCAUUAACACACACAAACAUGACGAGGAUGGUAUAAUCUCCAAAAAUGUGUACUUUGUUAGGUGGGACCCUAUAGCCUUGCAGAAUGUGCUAUGUUAGGCAUGCCUGGAAACGUGUGACGCAUACGUUUUGUGAACCUGUUCAUAUUAUAUGUGCUUUUAUAUUAUCGUAUUUUAUUAAAAUACUAAUAUUUAUUACUAGUAAGAUAUAACAUUCUAUCUAGCUUAAAAACUAACCAUAAAUAUUCCAUAAUAACUAGAUUUACCAAACUAAUAUACUAAAUAUACAUAAUAAAUACAAAAUUAACAAGACAAUAAUCAAUAUUUAUGAGCUUAAUAUAUUUAGACAUUAUGGUUGGUCGACGAUAAUCAUGCUAACUUUCCGUAAUUGCUUGAUUGUAAAUAUGCUUAGAAUAAUGCCUCUUUGUUCUACAUGGCAAAUAGGGACCAUUAUGGUGUAACACCCUGGGAUCCACAAACACCCUGAAAUGCUACUAAACUACACAACUAACCUUCAUAUAUUAAAUUUCGACAGCAUCUCCUUUGAAAAUUUGUAUAAACGUGGAAGCAACAGAGUAUAAACAGAUAUGAUGAUAAGGAAACAUAAUAGACAUUAAUAAUCUGCUAGAAAUGGGAAGAUAACCAUAACGACAUAAACUGAAUUAACUAGUGUGCACGGCAUGUUAAAAACAAACAUCGUUGACAAGAAGUUUCUAAUUAAAUCAUGGCUGUGCCUAGGCAGCGUUAUUAUAUGAGUGAAGGUGGACGUGAUGCUACUUCCCUCAUUCCCAACAUGAAUCAAGUACCUGUAUUGAGUAAUGCAAGAGUGAGAUGAAAACAUCUCAGCAAGUAAAUUGUUUUGACGAGAUAUUUAAACCAAAAAAAUUUGAUUUAAUCAACAUUUUAAAGGGAUCACAAUUGAGAUCAGACAUACUUGUAGAUAUAAAACUCAAUAGUCCCAAAAUAACCAAUGCCAUCUCAUUUCCACAAACAACCACAAUAGGUUGUAUAACACUUCCCUGCGUCAUCAAUACCUGCAAAUAUCACUUCAAUGUAUGCAUAGGAAUGCAAUGUUUAAGUCCUCUGCAUUCAUACUUCUUAGAGUAUAAAACCACACCAUCUGCAAAUAUCACUUCAAUGAAUGCAUAUGAAUGCAAUGCAUAUGUCCUCUGCCUUCAUACCUCUAAGGGUAUGAAGACGCAUCGUACCCCUCCUCGGGCAACGUACGAUGCUAAGUUGUACCGGUACGGUCGGACCAUAGGUCACGACAAAACUUCAGAUGCAAGUGAAUCAUGACAUGUAUAUGGCAUGCUGCAUUUAUCAAUAUACUACACUUCCUUCACAUACAAUACAAACCUCAAAUAAUACUUCGUUUACCUUCAGAUACAAUACAAACCUCAAAUAAUACUUCAUUCACCUUCAGGGGUGUUUAUUAAUCUCGUGGGUCAUACUCAAAUCAUCAUCAUCAUCAAUGAUGUUUAAGCAUCAGUAUAAUACAAUCAAGUAAAGCAUCACCAUAGAGUUCAAUUAUGAAAGAAUUCGAUGAUUCUGAAUAUUAGAGUGUAUGCGAUGAAACAACAAAGUCAAAACGGUAGCAACCACCGCUACAUUCACUUGCCUUCAUCGAAGAAGAAAAAGGUACUAGGCAUGAUUCGGAGUGUAGACACCUGCUGUGGGGCUUAAAACUUAGUACAAAUAUUCCACAAACAUUUGCCAACAACUAACAAAUCGCUCCUACACUUGUAACCAAGACCCGGUGGAAUGACUCCCACCCUGAACCACAUGUCAAACAGCAGGAGUGCUGUUUGUUAAUUUUGUAUCUUUAAAAUUAUAACAGUGGUGAUAUCAAACAAAUACUCUAGAAGUUUCUACACAAAAUACUCUACAACUUCGGUAUUCAAUGGAUAAUUAAAUUUUGCCAUCUAUAAGUUCUAAAACAUCUGACAAGAUAACUGACAGAAUCUGUUUCAGACAGCAGCAUAGUUAACUUCAAAAUUCGAUAUCUCCCAAACUCCUCAACCAAAAUUUAUGAAAUUAUGUUGACAGUAAGAACUUUUAUCCCUCUACAAAAGUCUCCAUAGUUGGAAGAGCCAAUUCGGCCAUUUACUAGAUGAAACCUACCAUUUAACAGACCCGCUCAUUUUUGUCAGGCAAACAAGAACCCUUAUAUAUCAAAGAGUAGUGGAUUUGAAUUUGUCUAAUAUGAAGUUUAUGGGCUUGGAUCAUUUAAAGUAUUUUAUAAUUCUGAAAGACAAGAUUAAACUAACUAUGUAUGAUCCUUUAGCACCGUACAGAUGGUCGAUGGGACAGUUACAUGGUUUAUAUAGAUGGACAUAUCUAUAUUCCUUCAGUGGUUGAGAAAAAGGUAAAGGUGUGUCACACUCACGCGUGCACUGCCUCCGCCGAGACGAGGCAUGGCGUUGCAAGGUGAGGCAUGGCAUGGUGCAGCACGAUCGUAUACAUGGUCGUGGCACAGUGUAGCACUGUUGUGGAUAGAUAGAUAAACUUUUGUUGUAGUUAGAGUGCAUGAGUUUUUGAAUGCAACACAAGAAUUUUCACAAUUUAACUUAAUUAAGAAGUUAUAUCUUGAUGACACAGAGUUACCUGACCAUUGAUCUCACAUGCCCUUUUAGCUCUCUCGUUCUCUAGACUCACCCUGACUAUUUAGGUCUCCUGACUCGCCAAUAUAAACACCAUCCUAUCAUUUGCUCUCGAAUACUUCUGUGUCACAACUCAACUGUCAGAUGAGUACUCCAUUACAGCACUGAGCAGGCCUCCGAAAUGAAUAUCUACUCAGAUGAAGGACGACAAUCGUGUUCUAGGGAAAUAUCAGCGACACAACUCCUUACUUCCUCCGCUUCUUCCUAGUGUUUUUUGUUGUGAUUGAGUCGACAUAGCAACAACACUGCACUAUUACAACCAGUACGACUAUAUCAACUAGCAAUGUCUUCCUUAUAUGUUACUAUUUAUUUUGCUCAUAUUCAUUAUGUUUAAAUCACAUAGGCGCCUUUAUGUUGGCAUCAAAAAAUCAGUAUCAACUUUAUAGAUUAAAAUGAAACUAAAAGUACCUAAAUUUCUAUCGGUGGGGAUCGAGUGAUUCUUUAAACCGAUUAUUACACAAGUUAACCACACUAAAAUUAACAAUGGUGAAUCGUGCCAUGAUUUUUUUCUAGUGGAAAAUAGCCAAACCAAGCAACACAUAUGUGGCUAUCGUUACACAUGUGUAAAGGUAUUGCAUCACACCAUUGUCACCCAUGUAUUUGGACAAUACCGAGAGGAAAAACCACUUAUUUAUUGUAUUAUAUCAAGUUUGUCUUGCUUACGUAUAAAUUAUAACCCAACAAAGUAAUCACUAAAUGUCAAAACCAACUAGAUACCAUGUCAUCUCUACCUUAUCUUACUAAUAUUCUUUUUGCAAAAUCCAAAAUUAAUCUUGCACAAGCACAAGGACUGAGAUGUGUAUAAAUAUCUCUUAAAUUAGUAGCUAAUAUAUCGCACAUAUUAUUGAGACCAACUAGCAACAUAGAAAGCACAAUAGUGUACCAACAAUGGCAGCCAAAAUAUUUUGCCUCCUUAUGCUCCUUGGUCUUUCUGCAAGUGCUGCUACGGCGACCAUUUUCCCGCAAUGCUCGCAAGCUCCUAUAGCUUCCCUUCUUCCCCCGUACCUCUCACCAGCGGUGUCUUCGGUAUGUGAAAACCCAAUUCUUCAACCCUACAGGAUCCAACAGGCAAUCACAGCUGGCAUCUUACCUUUAUCACCCUUGUUCCUCCAACAAUCAUCAGCCCUAUUACAUCAGUUACCUUUGGUGCAUUUAUUGGCACAAAACAUCAGGGCACAACAACUACAACAACUUGUGCUAGCAAACCUUGCUGCCUACUCUCAGCAACAGCAGUUUCUUCCAUUCAACCAACUAGCUGCAUUGAACUCUGCUUCUUAUUUGCAACAACAACAACUACCAUUCAGCCAGCUACCUGCUGCCUACCCCCAGCAAUUUCUUCCAUUCAACCAACUGGCAGCAUUGAACUCUCCUGCUUAUUUACAGCAGCAACAACUACUACCAUUCAGCCAGCUAGCUGGUGUGAGCCCUGCUACCUUCUUGAUACAACCACAGUUGUUGCCGUUCUACCAGCACGCUGCGCCUAACGCUGGCACCCUCUUACAACUGCAACAAUUGCUGCCAUUCAACCAACUUGCUUUGACAAACCCAGCAGCGUUCUACCAACAACCCAUCAUUGGUGGUGCCCUCUUUUAGAUUUCUUAUGAGUUAUAGUUCAAUAAUAAAGUUUUUUGUCUGAUGUUUGUGGCUUCCCAGAAAUAAGAAAGUACAUUUCUAGAUUCUUAUGUGCUUCUAGUCUCCAAAUGUGGUUGAUAGUUAUUUUGCUCUAAGAUCGACAGUAAUGAAGUAUAAAUCAUCGUUGUGGUGUGCUACUCGGUUAAUUGAGCAUUAACACACACAAACAUGACGAGGAUGGUAUAAUCUCCAAAAAUAUGUACUUUGUUAGGUGGGACCCUAUAGCCUUGCAUAAUGUGCUAUGUUAGGCAUGCCUGGAAACGUGUGACGCAUAUGUUUUGUGAACCUGUUGAUAUUAUAUGUGCUUUUAUAUUACCAUAUUUUAUUAAAAUACUAAUAUUUAUUACUAGUAAGAUAUAACAUUCUAUCUAGCUUAAAAACUAACCAUAAAUAUUCCAUAAUAACUAGAUUUACCAAACUAAUAUACUAAAUAUACAUAAUAAAUACAAAAUUAACAAGACAAUAAUCAAUAUUUAUGAGCUUAAUAUAUUUAGACAUUAUGGUUGGUCGACCAUAAUCAUGCUAACUUUUCGUACUUGCUUGAUUGUAAAUAUGCUUAGAAUAAUGCCUCUUUGUUCUACAUGGCAAAUAGGGACCAUUAUGGUGUAACACCCUGGGAACCACAAACACCCCGAAAUGCUACUAAACUACACAACUAACCUUCAUAUAUAAAAUUUCGACAGCAUCUCCUUUGAAAAUUUGCAUAAACGUGGAAGCAACAGAGUAUAAACAGAUAUCAUGAUAAGGAAACAUACUAGACAUUAAUAAUCUGCUAGAAAUGGGAAGAUAACCAUAACGACAUAAACUGAAUUAACUAGUGUGCACAACUUGUUUAAAACAAACAUCAUUGACAAGAAGUUUCUAAUUAAAUCAUGGCUGUGCCUGGGUAGCGUUAUUAUGAGAGUGAAGGUGGACGUGAUGCUACUUCCCUCAUUCCCAACAUGAAUCAAGUACCUGCAUUGAGUAAUGCAAGAGUGAGAUGAAAACAUCUCAGCAAGUAAAUUGUUUUGACGAGAUAUUUAAAGCAAAAAAAUUUGAUUUACUCAACAUUUUAAAGGGAUCACAAUUGAGAUCAGAAAUACUUGUAGAUAUAGAACUCAAUAGUCCCAAAAUAACCAGUGCCAUCUCAUUUCCUCAAACAACCACAAUAGGUUGUAUAACACUUCCCUGCGUCAUCAAUACCUGCAAAUAUCACUUCAAUGUAUGCAUAGGAAUGCAAUGUUUAAGUCCUCUGCAUUCAUACUUCUUAGAGUAUAAAACCACACCAUCUGCAAAUAUCACUUCAAUGAAUGCAUAUGAAUGCAAUGCAUAUGUCCUCUGCCUUCAUACCUCUAAGGGUAUGAAGCCGAAUCGUACCCCUCCUCGGGCAACGUACGAUGCUAAGUUGUACCGUUACGGUCGGACCAUAGGUCACGACAAAACUUCAUAUGCAAGUGAAUCAUGACAUGUAUAUGGCUUGCUGCAUUUAUCAAUAUACUUCACUUCCUUCAUAUACAAUACAAACCUCAAAUAAUACUUCGUUUACCUUCAGAUACAAUACAAACCUCAAAUAAUACUUCAUUCACCUUCAGGGGUGUUUAUUAAUCUCGUGGGUCAUACUCGAAUCAUCAUCAUCAUCAAUGAUGAUUAAGCAUCAGUAUAAUACAAUCAAGUAAAGCAUCACCAUAGAGUUCAAUUAUGAAAGAAUUCGAUGAUUCUGAAUAUUAGAGUGUAUGCGAUGAAACAACAACGUCAAAACGGUAGCAACCACCGCUACAUUCACUUGCCUUCAUCGAAGAAGAAAAACAUACUAGGCAUGAUUCAGAGUGUAGACACCUGCUGUGGGGCUUAAAACUUAGUACAAAUAUUCCACAAACAUUUGCCAACAAUUAACAAAUCGCUCCUACACUUGAAACCAAGACCCGGUGGAAUGACUCCCACCCUGAACCACAUGCCAAACAAUAGUAGUGUUGUUUGUUAAUUUUGUAUCUUUAAAAUUAUAACAGUGGUGAUAUCAAACAAAUACUCCAGAAGUUUCUACACAAAAUACUCUACAACUUUGGUAUUCAAUGGAUAAUUAAAUUUUGCCAUCUAUAAGUUCUAAAACAUCUGAUAAGAUAACUGACUGAAUUUGUUUCAGACAACAGCAUAGUUAACUUCAAAAUUCGAUAUCUCCCAAACUCCUCAACCAAAAAUUAUGAAAUUAUUCUGACAGUAAGAACUUUUUUCCCUCUACAAAAGUAUCUAUAGUUGGAAGAGCCAAUUCGGCCAUUUACUAGAUGAAACCUACCAGUUAACAGACCCGCUCAUUUUUGUCAGGCAAACAAGAACCCUUAUAUAUCAAAGAGUAGUGGAUUUGAAUUUGUCUAAUAUGAAGUUUAUGGGCUUGGAUCAUUUAAAGUAUUUUAUAAUUCUGAAAGACAAGAUUAAACUAACUAUGUAUGAUCCUUUAGCACUGUACAGAUGGUCGAUGGGACAGUUACAUGGUUUAUAUAGAUGGACCUAUCUAUAUUCCUUCAGUGGUUGAGAAAAAGGUAAAGGUGUGUCACACUCACGUGUGCGCCGCCUCUACCGAGAUGAGGCAUGGCGUUGCAAGGUGAGGCAUGGCAUGGUGCAGCACGAUCGUAUACAUGGUCGUGGCACAGUGUAGCACUGUUGUGGAUAGAUAGAUAAACUUUUGUUGUAGUUAGAGUGCAUGAGUUUUUGAAUGCAACACAAGAAUUUUCACAAUUUAACUUAAUUAAGAAGUUAUAUCUUGAUGACACAGAGUUACCUGACCAUUGAUCUCACAUGCCCUUUUAGCUCUCUCGUUCUCUAGACUCACCCUGACUAUUUAGGUCUCCUGACUCGCCAAUAUAAACACCAUCCUAUCAUUUGCUCUCGAAUACUUCUGUGUCACAACUCAACUGUCAGAUGAGUACUCCAUUACAGCACUGAGCAGGCCUCCGAAAUGAAUAUCUACUCAGAUGAAGGACGACAAUCGUGUUCUAGGGAAAUAUCGGUGACACAACUCCUUACUUCCUCCGCUUCUUCCUAGUGUUUUUUGUUGUGAUUGAGUCGACACAGCAACAACACUGCACUAUUACAACCAGUACGACUAUAUUAACUAGCAAUGUCUUCCUUAUAUGUUACUAUUUAUUUUGCUCAUAUUCAUUAUGUUUAAAUCACAUAGGCACCUUUUUGUUGGCAUCAAAAAAUUAGUAUCAACUUUCUAGAUUAAAGUGAAACUAAAAGUACCUAAAUUUCUAUCGGUGGGGAUCGAGUGAUUCUUUAAACCAAUUAUUACGCAAGUUAACCACACUAAAAUUAACAUUGGUGAACCGUGCCAUGAUUUUUUCUAAUGGAAAAUAGCCAAACCAAGCAACACAUAUGUGGCUAUCGUUACACAUGUGUAAAGGUAUUGCAUCACACCAUUGUCACCCAUGUAUUUGGACAAUACCGAGAGGAAAAACCACUUAUUUAUUGUAUUUUAUCAAGUUUGUCUUGCUUACGUAUAAAUUAUAACCCAACAAAGUAAUCACUAAAUGUCAAAACCAACUAGAUACCAUGUCAUCUCUACCUUAUCUUACUAAUAUUCUUUUUGCAAAAUCCAAAAUUAAUCUUGCACAAGCACAAGGACUGAGAUGUGUAUAAAUAUCUCUUAAAUUAGUAGCUAAUAUAUCACACAUAUUAUUGAGACCAACUAGCAACAUAGAAAGCACAAUAGUGUACCAACAAUGGCAGCUAAAAUAUUUUGCCUCCUUAUGCUCCUUGGUCUUUCUGCAAGUGCUGCUACGGCGACCAUUUUCCCACAAUGCUCACAAGCUCCUAUAGCUUCCCUUCUUCCCCCGUACCUCUCACCAACGGUGUCUUCGGUAUGUGAAAACCCAAUUCUUCAACCCUACAGGAUCCAACAGGCAAUCGCAGCUGGCAUCUUACCUUUAUCACCCUUGUUCCUCCAACAAUCAUCAGCCCUAUUACAGCAGUUACCUUUGGUGCAUUUAUUGGCACAAAACAUCAGGGCACAACAACUACAACAACUUGUGCUAGCAAACCUUGCUGCCUACUCUCAGCAACAGCAGUUUCUUCCAUUCAACCAACUAGCUGCAUUGAACUCUGCUUCUUAUUUGCAACAACAACAACUACCAUUCAGCCAGCUAUCUGCUGCCUACCCCCAGCAAUUUCUUCCAUUCAACCAACUGACAGCAUUGAACUCUCCUGCUUAUUUACAGCAGCAACAACUACUACCAUUCAGCCAGCUAGCUGGUGUGAGCCCUGCUACCUUCUUGACACAACCACAGUUGUUGCCGUUCUACCAGCACGCUGCGCCUAACGCUGGCACCCUCUUACAACUGCAACAAUUGCUGCCAUUCAACCAACUUGCUUUGACAAACCCAGCAGCAUUCU